AAGAUUUGACAAUUACUAUCAUGUAAAGUUCUAAAAUAGAUUUCUUUGGAGUCAUGAUUGUACAUAACUUACACCUGGACCCAUCUGCAGCUAACCUCCCACUCCCUGCAAUUGCAUAUUGACCUUGUGAAUUUGUUGAUUGGAAAAUUACAUCCCUUUCCUUACCUCUGAGUGUGAGUGUGUUAGCAGCAGUUCAGUGGGAUAUUUCAGGAUUCACAGUUCUUUAAUUCUGUCUUCCGGACAAACUCCAAAUUGUUUUUUAUGUCAUAGUGAAAUAUCAGAACUAUGGCCAGUCUUUAGCUGACUACAUUUUGAAAGCUGAAAUAGGAUAGAGCUACUGUGUGUGUAAAGGAACGGCCACCAGGUAUAAUGGGAGACUUUUUAAAAGCAGUCCCCGGUGUAAGCCCGAUGUGAGUUGGAUGUUUUUAUUGGUACACUGAUUCCUUAGGUGGCCUUCAAACAUCUAUUCCUGGACUCUUCCAUGUUUUCCUGGUGCUCUCAGCAUAGGCGCUCCACUGGUCUUAGAAGCUGCAGGACUGCCUGAUGGGCUGGCUGCCUCUGUGCACUUCAGUGAGCCAUUGUAAAUAAAUAGUCCUGCCCCGUCACUUCCAUUUUCGUGAUUCAACUGUAUUGUUUCCACAGCAUUUAUCAGUGUCUGAAAUGAUCUUACUCACUUCUGCUGUGUUUAUUUUCUGUCUCCCUUCACCAAAAUGUAAAGCUGCUUGAGGUCAGGGGUCUUGCCUUUCUUGUUCAUCAUUGUGUCAACAAUGCCCAGAUAGGACCUGGCACAAAUGGAGGGAUCAAUACAAAAUCAUUGACCAUGUGCAUAAAUGAACGUGCAUCAUAGCACCUGAUGGCACACCCAUUGUCAUCAUCAUCAAUGUCAAGAAGCAUUUAUUAAGCAGUACCACAGUGUUGCACAACCCCAGGGGGCUCUGUCUGCAUAGCACAGGACCAGGCCCUACGGAAAACAGAUGGAAGCCAAGAAGGACCUGAUCAAAUAUAAAUUUGUCAUCAAAGUUGCUCCUGGAUAAUAUGUCAGUGGAUUCCCUUAUAUUUGAAAUCAUUUUAUAAUAAGGAUCUCUAGGUAGUUCAGUGAAUAAACACCUCUGGAUUCCCCACAGAGCCACCUUAAACAGAAUGCAAACACUGCUCUCCAGUAAACAGCAUUAGAGGCAAAGGGCUCACUAGCCUUUCCUUUGGAAGAUUUCAUAAUCACAGCAAGAGACUUUCUGCCCAGAAACAAGUACAUAUACAAAGUAAUUCUUUUAUUAAAUUGGGAUUAAAUGCUAUCUAAAACUAAUUUAGAGAGAGAGUUCCAUUUAAUUGACUGAUUUGGGUAGGAUAAAAUGGUAAUAAUUGUUUUACAUGGUAUUUAAAUUUCAUUACUUGAGUUUCUUAUUGCUUCUUUUCACGUGAGAAUUACCUUUGCAAAUACGACAUAAUAGAAAGCUUUUCAAAAAGCUUUUACUUGCAUUUUCUCUCGGAGUGUAUUGGUGUUGUAUUCAGGGAUUGGAGGCUCAUAAGAGCAUAAUGAGAAGAUGAAUGCACCUCAACCUUAGAGGUGUCUCCAGUUACUGACUUUGUUCUUUCCCUCAGGCUGAAUGAGGUGAAUAUAGAACGUCUUGCAGUUGAAUAAUUUGGCUGCUUUCAGGCAAGAAUUUUUGUGAUGUUAUAAAAAUUGAGAUCUAAAAGGAAACUUAACCUUCAGUUCAUUCUUUUGAUGUAUUUUGCCUGAAGCAUGGUGCUAGGACCUGUUAUCUCAAAUAGGCAAUAUAAAAAUAUCUUUCUAAUUCACUCCUACAGUUGAAAGAUCCUCAUGGAUUGAAAUUACUGUGAUCUAUCAAAAUUCACUAUGUUGUGGAAAUAAAAUAAAAUCACAUGUCAGACGAGGAAUGAUGACAACAAUGGACCGGCUUAUUAUGAAGCUUAAAAUGAAAAUGCUUUAUCGGCAACAGUAUUGGAUUCUUGAAAGAUGGAAAAUAUGUGUCAAAAUCAGAGAAGCCACAUUAGUGAUAUGGCUGGUUUGUCCCAUGCUUUUGGAAUCGGUAGCAAUAUUUGGUUUAAUUGUAUGUCUUUUUAAAAAUCAGAAGAUAAUUCACACCAUAAAAUUCACCAUUUUAAAGUGUACAAUUCAGUGGGUUUGGAUAGAUUCGUAAGGUUGUGCAACCAUCAUGACUAUCAAGUUCUGGAAUAUUUUCACCCACUCUCAAAAAGAGGAAGCCAUGAUUGUGCUGUCUGUCUUUAAGGAUUUGUUUAUUCUGGACUUUUCAUUUAAACUGAGUCAAAUGGUAUGUGUUCCUUUAUGUGUGGCUACUUUCACUUCAUGUUUUUAAGGUUCAUCUAUGUUGUAGCAUGUAUCAGCAUUUCGUGUUUCUAAAUAACAGAACACUAUGCUAUUGUCUAAGUGUCCUACAUUUUAUUUACGUGUUCAUAAGUUGAUAGACGUUUGUUUUGUUUCCACUUUUUGGCUACUGUGAAUGUGUGCAAAUUUUUGUGUGAAUGAACACAUGUUUUCCUUUCUCUUGAGUAUAUCUAGGAGUGGAAAUGCUGAAUCGUAUGGUAACUCUGUUUACCUUUUUGAAUAAUAGCCAAACUGUUUCUCACAGCAGCUGUGCAAUUUUACCUCUCCACCUGCAAUGUAUGAGGGGUUCCAGCUUCUCUACAUCCUUACAACACUUGUUAUUUUCCAUUUUCAAAAUGAUAGUCAUUUUAGUAGAUAUAAAUGGGUACCUUAUUAAAAAAUAAAUAAAUAAAUAAAUGGGUACCUUAUUGUGGCUUUGAUUUUUAUUUCUCUAGUGACUAAGGAAGGAUGUUGAGCAGUUUCUCAAUUGAGUAUUUGCUAUAUCUAUCUAUCUAUCUAUCUAUCUAUCUAUCUAUCCAUCCAUCCAUCCAUCCAUCCAUCUAAUGUCCAUUUGAACUCUGUCUCAUUUUUUUAUUUGGGUUAUUUGUCUUUUUUAAAUUUUAAAUUUUUGUGGGUACAUAGGAGGUAUAAAUAUUUGUGGAAUAUAUGAGAUAUUUUGAUACAAGCAUUCAAUGUGUCAUAAUCGCAUCAGGGAAAAUGAGAUAUCCAUUGCCUCAAGCAUUUUUCCUUUGUGUUACAAACAAUCCAAUUAUACUUUUUUAGUUAUUUAAAAAUGUACAAUUAAAUUCUUUUUUGUCUAUAGUCACCCUGUUGUGCUGGCAAACACUAGGUCUUAUUCAUUCUUUCUAUUUUUUGUACCCAUUAACCAUACCCACUACCCCACCCUGUCCCCCACUACCUUUCCUAGCCUCUGGUAACCAUCCUUCUACUCUCUAUCUCCAUGAGUUCAAUUAUUUUAAUUUUUUUUUUUUUUUGAGACAGAGUCUUGCUCUAUCACCCAGGCUGGAGUGCAGUGGCCCCAUCUGGGCUCACUGCAAGCUCUGCCUCCCGGGUUCACGCCAUUCUCCUACCUCAGCCUCCUGAGUAGCUGGGACUACAGGUGCCCGCCACCGUGCCCGGCUAAUUUUUUGUAUUUUUAGUAGAGACGGGGUUUCACCGUGUUAGCCAGGAUGGUCUCGAUCUCCUGACCUCGUGAUCCGCCCACCUUGGCCUCCCAAAGUGCUGCGAUUACAGGCUUGAGCCACCGCGCCUGGCACAAUUGUUUCAAUUUUUAAGUCCCACAAAUAAGUGAGAACAUGUGAAGUUAGUCUUUCUGUGCUUGACUUAUUUCGCUUAGCAUAAUGACCUCCAGUUCCAUCCAUGUUGUUGCAAACGACAAGAUCCUAUUAUUUUUUGUGGCUGAAUAGUACUCCAUUGUGUACAUGUACCAUAUUUUCUUUAUCCAUUUGUCUGUUGAUGGACACUUAGGCUGCUUCCAGAUCUUGGCUAUUGUGAACAGUGUUGGAAAAAACAUGGAAGUGCAGAUAUCUCUUGGAUAUACUGAUUUCCUUUCUUUUGGCUGUGUACUUAGGAUGGGAUGGUUGAGUCGUAUGGUAGUUCUAUAUUUAGUUUUUUUUGAGAACCUUCAAAUUGUUCUCCAUAGUGGUUCCAUAAUUUACAUUCCCACCAACAGUGUACGAGGGUUCCCGUUUCUCCUUAUCCUCUCUGUUAUUUGUUAUUGCCUAUGUUUUGGACAUAAGCUUUUUUAACUGGGGUGAUAUGAUAUCUCAUUGUAUUUUGAUUUGCAUUUCUCUGAUCAUUAGUGACGUCGAGCACUUUUUCAUAAACCUGUUUGUCAUUUGUAUAUCUUCUUUUGAGAAAUGUGUAUUCAGAUCUGUUGCCCAUUUUAAAAUGGGGUUAUUCAAUUUUUUCCUAUAGGAUUGUUUGAAUUCCUUAUAUAUUCUGUUUAUUAAUCCCUUGUCAGAGGAGGUAGUUUGCAAAUAUUUUCUCCCAUUCUGUGGGUUGUCUCUUCACUUUGUUGCUUGUUUCUUUUGCUGUGUAGAGGCUUUUUAACUUGAUGUGAUCCUAUGUGUCCAUUUUUGCUUUGGUUGCCUGUGCUUUUGGGAUAUUAACCAAUAAAUCUUUGCCCAGUCCAAUGUUCUGGAGGGUUUCCCUAAUAUUUCCUUUUAGUUGUUUCAUAGUUCAAGGUCUGAGGUUUAAGUCUUUAAUCCAUUUGGAUUUGAUUUUUGUAUAAGAUGAGAGGUAGGUGUCUAGUUUCAUUUUUUUCUAUGGAUAUCCAGCUUUCCCAGCACCAUUUAUGGAAGAGACUAUUGUUUCCCCAAUGUAUUUUCUUAGCACCUUUGUCAAAAAUGAGUUCACUGUAGAUGUAUGGAUUUAUUUCUGGGUUCUCUAUUUUGCUUCACUGGUCUAUGUGUCAGUUUUUAUGCCAAUACAGUGCUGUUAUGGUUACUGUAGCUCCGUAGUAUAAUUUGAAGUCAGGUCAUGUGAUUCCUGCAGUUUUGUUCUUUUUGCUUAGGAUAGUUUUGGCUAUUCUGGGUCUUUUUUGGUUCCAUAUAUAUUUUAGGAUUGCUUUUUCUAUUUCCGUGAAGAAUGUCAUUGGUAUUUUGAUAGGGGUUGCAUUGAAUCUGUAGAUUGCUUUGGGAAGUAUGGGCAUUUUAACAAUAUUGAUUCCUCCAAUCCAUGAACACGGAAUGUCUUUCAAUUUUUUUAUGUCCUCUUCAAUUUCUUGCAUCAAUGUUUCAUAGUUUUCAUUGUAAAGAUAUUUCACUUCUUUGGUUAAUUCCUGGGUAUUUUAUUUUAUUUGUAGCUAUUGUAAAUGGGAUUACUUCCUUGAAUUUUUUUUCAGAUUUUUCACUGUUGGCAUAUAGAAAUGCUACUGAUGUUUAUAUGUUGAUUUUGUAUCCUGCAACUUUCCUGAAUUUGUUUAUCAGCUCUAAUUUUUUUUGGUGGAGUCUUUAGUUUUUUCCAAAUAUAAGAUCAUUUCAUCUCCAAACAAGGAUAAUUUGACUUCUUCCUUUCUAAUUUGGAUACUGUUUAUUUCUUUCUCUUAUUUGAUUGUGCUAUAGCUAGGACUUCCAAUUAUUUGUGUUUUUGUUAUUGAAUUUUAAAGGUUAUUCACAUAUUCCAGAUACUAUACCUUUAUUAAAUACAUAAUUUGCAAAUAUCUCCUCCCAUUCUGUAGAUUGCAUUUUUUAAAUGGUAUCCUUUUCUCUCUCUGGUACCAGAAUGCAGGGUGUUGGUUUCCAAGGCUGCUGCUGGUGAGGUGGACAGUGGAGGAUGAUAAUAGGGUAAGUUAAAGACACCAAAAACUUUAUGUUUUUAUGACAAUUUAGCCAGUUUUUUUUUUUUUUGGGAAUAAAUACUCCUUGGGUUGCUACAAAUCAUUGGUUAAUUUCUAGAGUUUUGAAAAAGUUUUCUGAUAAUUUUUGUCAGGUUUUUUCAUUGUUUUAUGAGGGGUAGUUAAAUCUGUGGAGGUUCUAAUUCUGACAUUUUCACUGCCGUCACCUCAACCAUGUCUUAUAUUGCAGUGGGAUGACAAUCUUGGGUGUAUGCUUUGCCUUUCUUUUUUUCAUAUAGGCUAUGUCAUCAUGUGGAUGCCAUGGAAAGAUGGACUCAAGCCUCUUUUAAGUUCAUCAUCACAAACUGAGUUUUUUUGUUGGGUACCAUCCCCUCUACUUUUAUAAUUUAUAAAUCUAGGGAGCUUAUAGCAACUUAGAGAUUGGUCAAUGAAUUUUCCCCUUUGUUUUACACAAGAGAAAACUGGCACCCCUUUUGCAAAGUGAAGUGAAUUGCUCAGUUCCUUCCUAUAGUUGGUAGUAGAAGCGGGAGGAGAAUUGAGCUCUAAUAGAAACACUCAGUCCAAAUACUUCUCUGCAAAUUUCCAGAGUCUCAUCACUCAGCUUUCUAUACACAUUUUCUCUUUUUGUUUGGGUAUGUAUGCCAGUCCCUGUGACUUUAGAAAUGAUGAGAUAUUAUAAGGCCCAUGCACAGCCCCACAAUUAUUCUCACGAACUCGGUUUUAAUGUUGGUAUGAUUUGGGUAUUAUAAAAAUUCAUGGUCCUCAAGAAGCAGCCAGCAGUUUACCUAUGGUAGCAGAUACAUUUUUGUCUAGCUUUCCCCAUUUAUUAUUUGCAUCAUGCUUGAUCAGACGGCCUCAAGAACAGCUUCUGCAUAGUGAAAGAGAAAACAAUGGUUUGAAAAUGAAAGUUUAGUGCUAAAAUGUAGCCAUAUGAAUGUUCUUUGGAAGCACUUGUUUUUAAGGACCUUGGGGACAUUCUCUGGUUGGUGUUUGUGUUAGUUUGCCAAAGCUGCAUGGAAAAGUACUACGGAUUGGGUGGCUUAAACAACAGAAAUGUAUCUUCUUAUAAUUCUGGAGGGUAAAAUCCAAGAUCAAGGUGUCAGCAGGUUUUUUUUUUUUUUUUUUUUUUUUUUUUUUUUUUUUUUUUUUUUGAGGCCUUCCUCUUUGGCUUGUAGAUGCUGUCUUCUCAAUGUAUCUUUACAUGGUCUUCCCUCUGUAACUGUCUGUCUCCUAAUAGGCUCUUCUUAUGAGGACACCAGUCACAUGGGAUUAGGGCCCACCUCAAUGACUGCAUUUUACUUAACUACCCCUGUUAAAGGCUCUCACUUUCCAAAUAUACUUACAUUCUGCAGUAUUGGGGGUUAGAACUUCAACAUAUAAAUUUUGGGGGGACACACUUCAGCUCAUAACAGUGUUAGAAUGGGAAAUGUUUAUGAAUCAAUAUUUACAAAAUGGAUAAGGAGGCUAGCAAAGCAAACACAUAAUCUCUCUGCUCAGACUCAUCACACAUCCUACCUGUGAGAGCCAAUUGUUAAAUAGUCAAGAAGUUUCCAAGAUUAAGCCAUGAAAACCAGCAAUAGCUACAUUGCUAAUUUCAAUCACCACCCUCACACUGAAAGCUAGGUUUCUUCUCUCUCUCUCUCUUUUUUUGUUUUUGAGACAGUCUUGCUCUGUCACCCAGGCUGGAGUGCAGUGAAGCAAUCUUGGUGGCUCACUGCAACCUCUGCCUCCUGGGUUCAAGUGAUUCUUCUGCCUCAGUCUCAAGAGCAGCUGGGAUUACAGGCCCCCACCACCACGCUUGGCUAAUUUUUGUAUUUUUAGUAGAGAUGGGGUUUCACCAUGUUGGCCAGGCUGUUCUUGAACUCCUGACCUCAAGUAAUCUGCCUGUCUUGGCUUCCCAAAGUGCCGGGAUUACAGGCAUGAACCACCGUGCCCAGCCAGAAAGCUAGUUUUCAAGGACACACUGCUCUAUGCCAUAUCCAUUUUUACAGUGAAGGUCACCUUGAGAAAUAAAUUAGCUUUUUCUAAAGGGAUACUUUUCCUAGGAUUGCUGUAAGUUGGGAAUAUGGUUUGGAUAUUUGCCCCCUCCAAAUUUCAUGUUGAAAUAUCAUUAGGGAAUUGCAAAUUAAAACAAUAAUGAGAUAUCACUAUGCACUUAAUAGAAUGGCCAAAAUCCAAAAAAACCUCACAAUACUAAAAGCUGGUGAGGAAGGAGAAUAGCAGGACCUCUCAUUCAUUGCUGGUGGAAAUACAAAAGAGCACAGUCACUUUGGAAAACAGUUUAGCAGGUUCUUACAAAACUAAACAUAGUAUUACCAUAUGGUACAGGAAUCAAGCUCCUCAGUAUAUAUCCAAAUGAAUUAAACUUAUGUUUCCCCCCACCCAAAACCCUGCACAAAGGCUUAUAGCAGCAGUAUUCAUAAUUGUCAAAAACCAGAAGCGGCCCAGCGUGAUGGCUCACACCUGUAAUCCCAGCACUUUUGGAGGCUGAGGUGGGUGGAUCACCUGAGGUCAGGAGUUUGAGACCAGCCUGGCCAACAUGGUGAAACCCUGUCUCUACUAAAAAUACAAAAAUUAGCCAGGCGAGGUAGCAGGUGCCUGUAAUCCCAGCUACUUGGGAGGCUGAGGCAGGAGAAUUGCUUGAACCCGGGAGGUGGAGGUUGCAGUGAGCUGAGAUCACACUACUGCACUCCAGCCUGGGCGACAACAGCGAAACUCUGUCUCAAACAAACAAACAACAACAACAACAACAAAAACCCCAGAAGCAAUCCAGAUGUUCCGCAGUAGGGAAUGGCUCAACAAACAUUGGUGCAUCCAUACAAUGGAAUAUUAUUCAGUGACAAGAAUAAACGAGCUGUCAAAUCACAAAAAGGUAUGAAGGGCUCUAAAACACAUAUUGCUAAGUGAAAGAAGCCAGUCUGAGAAGGACAUAUAUUUUAUUAUUUCACGAUGUGUUAUUCUGGAAAAGGCAAAACUGUAGAGACAGUAAAAAAUAUCAUUGAUUACCAGGAGUUAGGGAAGAAAGAAAGAAGGAUGAAGAGGUGAAGCACAGGGAAGUUUUAGUCAGUGAAAUUAUUCUCUAUAACUCUAUAAUGGUGGAUACCUGUAAUUUGUCGAAACCCAUGGAAAUGUACAACCUUAUAGUACACUAUGGACUUCAGUUAAUCGUAAAGUGUUAAUAUUGCUUCGUUGACUUUAACAAAUGUACUGCACUAAUGCAAGGUGUUAACAAUAGGGGGAACUCUGUGGGGGAGGAGAGUAUAUGAGAACUUCUUACUAACUGCUUGAUUGUUCUGCAAAUCCGAAGAUGUUCUAAAAAUAAAGCCUAUUAAUUAAAAAAACCCCAAAAUGUAAAAUAACAAUAAUGAGUGUCUGAUUUCAAUUUGCCUAUAACAUGCUUAGAAAUUCAAUUCGUUAAUUUCAGUUUUUGAAAUAAUCAGAUUGUCCAAAAGAGGGUGCCAAAGAUUUACAAAGGUAUUUUCUUUGGUUCUGUAAAAAGAAGCUAAGUAAUAAAAUAGAAUUAAUGUAAUUAAAAGCCAAGAGAACCUAAUAUAAGUCAAUGUGUCUGACUCUUAUCUACAUCUUGCCAAUGACUCCUAUCCUCCUUCCCUGGGACUCAUGUUGGAUGCGUUUUGCUUCUUGGUGCUGCUGCUUUGCUGUGUUUGAGAGUGUAAUUCACCCUCAUGAUGCACAGCAGGUGACCCUGACUCCAAAGAUACCUGCAGGGAGCUGAGCUAACCGAAAUACGCCUGCACCUUAUUUUAGGUAACGAUAGACAGAGGCUUGUAUAAGUUGGAUUUGAAUGGGAGUUUGCAAAUUGAUGUGUAUACUUUGUAAAUUUAUACUAUUUUCAGUUAUAUACACUUAGAGACAAUUUUGACUUAUUACUAUUGGGUCUUCCACUGAAAGUGGCUUUUAGCACUGUAAUCUUCAAUUGCCCUGUUUCUAGAACCCUAAAUCAAGGAGUUUAUAAUCUGUAACUAAGUAUAAAUGCAUUGACACAAUUCAUUUUUUAAGGUAUCUUUUGGUGGGCAGGGCCUGGUGGCUCAUGCCUGUAAUCCCAGCAGUCUGGGAGGCUGAGGCAGGAGGAUUGUUUGAGCCCAGGAGUUAGAGACCAGCAUAGGCAACAUAGCAACACUCUGCCUCUGCAAAAAAAUAAAGAAUUAGCCCGACAUGGCAGUGUGUAACCUGUAGUCCUGACUACUCAGGAGGCUGAGGUGGGAGGAUUGCUUGAGCCCAAGAGGUCCAGGCUACAGUGAGCCAAGAUCAUGCCACUGCGGUCCAGCCUGGGUGACAGAGCCAGACCCUAUCUCAAGUAUAUAUAUGAAUAAUUUCAUCAAGGAAUCUCCUUAAGAUAACUAUAUCACAACAAAACUAAGUUCUUUUUUUGUUAUAUUGCCUUUUUACAUUUUCAGAACAUCUUUAUUUUCUGUUGAUUGUAAAAGAAACAGACACUAAUAAAAUAAUCAGAUUAAAAAAAUUGUUUUAGGUUUGGGGUACAUACGCAGGUUUGUUAUAUAGGUAAACUCAUGUCACAGGGGUUUGCUGUACAGAUUAUUUUGUCAUCCAGGCACUAAGCCUAGUACCCAAUAGUUAUUUUUUCUUCUCUUCUCCCUCCCCCCGCCCUCCACCCUCAGGUAGGCCCCAGUGUCUGUUGUUCUUUUCUUUGUGUCCAUGAGUUCUCAUCAUUCAGCUCCCACUUAUAAGUAAAAACAUGCAGUACUUGGUUUUCUGUACAUGCAUUAAUUUGCCAAGGAUAAUGGCCUUCAGCUCCAUCUAUUUUCUCACAAAAACAUGAUCUCAUUAUUUUUUAUGGCUGCAUAGUAUUCCGUGGUAUAUAUGUACCACAUAAAAUAAUCAAAUUAAGAAACUCCAAAGUGAAAGCUUACUUAAUCUUACUUGAAGAUUUCUUACUUACUGUCAGUGAUUUGUUAUGUAACUUUCUCUUUGGUGUGUAUAUUAAGAAACAAUUUUAUUUUAUUGUGGUAAGAACACUUAACAUGAUAUCUACCCUCUUAACAAAUUUUGAAAUAUGCAAUACAGUAUUGUUUACUAAAGGUACCAUUUUGUACAGCAAAUCUCUAGAACUUAUUCAUAUUGCUCAACAGGGAGGGGCUUGUGUAACCUUCUGAAUGUUUACAUAUGUGUUUAGAAUGUAAAUGGCUUACAUUAUCCAUAUUCUCCAGUGAUAUACUUUCCACAUCUAAUGAUGAAUGUCUGUCUUAUAUAACAUCAUUCUUUCUUUGCAAUGGAUGCCUAUGAUUCCCUUUUAUGGAUGUAUUACACUUUGUUUAGUCAAUACCCUAUUACACAAUUUAUUUAGUUCUUUCUUUUGUUUUUGUUUUUGCUAUUAACAGUAUUGAUUUAAUAAAAAGCCUUACAAACCCAUAUUUAUGGAUUCGUGCUAUUAUCUCUGUUUAACUAAUUCCUGAAUUGAAAUUCUAAGUUUAAAUAUAAGCAUAUUUAUAUAUAUAUUUUAAUUUUUAAUUUUUUGUGGAUAUAUAGUGGGUAUAUAUAUUUAUGGGAUGUGUGAGAUGUUUUGAUACAGGCAUGCAAUACAUAAUAAUCACAUCAUAGAGAAUGGGGUAUCCAUCCUUUCAAACAUUUAUGCUUUGUGUUACAAGCAAUCCAAUUAUACUCUUUUAGUUAUUAAAAAUGUACAAUUAAGUUAUUAUAGACUAUGGUCACCCUAUUGUUCUAUCAAGUAGUAGGUCUCAUUCAUUCUAUUUUUUUUUGUACUCAUUAACCAUUCCCACCUCCUCCCCAUUCUUUCCUCUUCCCUUCCCAGCCUCUGGUAACCAUCCUUCUGCUCUCUAUGUUCGUGAAUUCAAUUGUUUUGAUUUUUAGAUCCCAUAAAUAAGUGAGAACAUGUGCUGUUUGUUUUUCUGUGCCUGGUUUAUUUCACUUAACAUAAUGAUCUGCAUAUAUUUUGAUAGGCAUUACCAUCCACUAUCUGAUAAGUUUUACAGAUUCAGUCCUGUAAUUUAAUGAUGGGGAUAUGUUCUGGGAAAUGUGUCCUUAGAUGAUUUUGUUGUUGUGUGAACAUCAAAGAGUGUAUAUAGUAUUUAUGUAAACCUAGAUUGUGUAGCCUACUACACACCUAGGUUAUGUGGUAUAGCCUAUUGUUCCUAGGCUACAAACCUAUACAGCAUGCUACUUACUGAAUAAUGUAGGAAGUUAUAACGCAAAUCACUAAGCCACAGGAAUUUUUCAGCUCCAUUUUCAUCUUAUGGGACCACCGCGGUAUAUGCGGUUUGUUUUUGACUGAAAUGCUCUUAUGUGGCACAUGAGUGUAUAAAAACCCACUCACAUGAGUGUUCCUCUGGGGUUUUCUUAAAGUGGAGAACAACUGCAUCUAAGAAUGAAUCAUUUUAGAUCAGGGCUGUCUAGGAUUGAAAUGUCCCAGGAUCAGACAGCAUCCAGAAUAGCAUUUACCUUUUCUGGUAUAUGCUGCAAAAUAAUUGCCACAAGUAUCAUUGACGAUUUGCAUUCUUGGUAUAUCUAUGUAAAGGAGAUGUCCUUCGACUGACAGCUGGCAAUACUUCUUGCAGAUCUCAGAGCUAACUGCAUGUUGAGGUUCAGCAUCCACUCUGGUGAUUUGGUGAUUUGAGUUUUCAGAUCUUGAGCUGUGUAAUUUCAGGAGGCUUUCUUCUCUGUCGGAAGGAAGACUGGAGUGAUGCAAUUAUCCUAUUGGAGUACAUUUCCUUUCAAUUCUGUUCUCAAAAUAUAUUUUUUUCCAGAAGAAAAAAUUAGCGUCAUUUUUAUUGGGCAGGGGAGGGGUAGGAAGGGGAUUUGGAUAAAAAGAGUAGAACCAUUCAUCUGCUUGUAUUCCUUUUCAGAAGACGUGGUUAAAGUUUUUCCUAGUCAUUUUUACAUCUUUUUUAUGGGAAGGGAUUGUGUUACAGUACACAUUUUAUUUUGCCAAGUGAGCUGUUACAGUGCAUACCAACAUACACACACACUACCCACAUUCCUUCAAGAAGCAACUAACACUAUCAACAUCAUUUAAAUAACAAAAUAGUAAUAUUAUUAUUAUUAAGUCCAUUGUUUAUUAGCUCUUUGACCUUGGUUAGGUUAUCAUAUCACUCUGUUCAUCUAUAAAAUAGAGUAACUGUGAAUAUCAAGUGAGAUAUGUAUAAUGCAUAGCACAUGGUAAAUAGUAUAUGUAAGUAUAUUCUUAUUUUUUGUCAUUAAAGUUUCCUUUAAGGAAAGAUAUGGGACUUGUGAUAUAAUAAGCAAUAUUUAUUUGGUCAUCUCUGCUCCAGUUCCUGGCACAGAACUUCUAAAACUCUUGUAAUUUCCUGAGUAGAUGGGGUGCCAGGAUGAUCUUUUGUUUCACUAUUUGGUCUCUAACCCUUGUUCCUAACAGAAACCCUAAAUCUCUUGGUAUUUCCUGGGCAAUAGCAGCAUCUUUUAUUCUAAUGAACCAACUUUUGGUGGGCUCCUGAAUGGAGAGAGAGAGCUCUCUCCCUCUCUCUUUGUGCCUGUGUGUGUGUGUGUGUGUGUGUGUGUGUGUCUACAUUUGGGAUAAUAAGUACCUAAACUGCCCACAUAUUGUCCUUGCUUGAUAUGUUUUCUAAGUCUCUUUGAAUCUAUAGAUUUUACCUUUUUCAUUUUUUGUUUUAAUUGUCAUCAGAAAGACAAGACACAGAAGUUUGAAACUUUCAGCCUCACCCCACCUCCUCUUGGGGAAAGAAGAUCGGGUUAAUAAUGGAUCAUGAUUACCUGAUUAAGCCUCCAUAAUAAUCUCUAAAGUACUGAGCACUUGGUGCUUCUGGGUUGGUGAACACAUCCAGGUAUUGGGAGGAUGGUGCACCCCAACUCCAUGGGCACAGAAGCUCCUGCCCUUGAGACCCUUUCAGACCUUUCCCUAUAUCCUCUUCAUCUGUAUCCUUGAUCGUAUCCUGUAUAAUAAACCAGUAAACCUAAGUGUUUCCCUGAAUUCUGUGAGCCAUCAGCAAACUAUGAAACCUGAGGAAGGAGCCAUGCGAACCCCCAAUUUGUAGCCAAGCUGAACAGAAGUGUGGGUAAUCUGGGGACCUACUACUUGGGAGUGGCAUUCGAAGUGGAAGGCAGUCUUGUGGGACCGAGCCCUUGUCCUGUGGGGGGUGCACUAACCCCAGGUAGUUAGCAUCAUGAUUGAAUUGUAGGACACCCACUUUGGUGUUCAGAGAGCUGGAGAAUCGGUUGGUGUGGGGAGAAAUCCCUUCAUGUUGAAUGUAGUAGAGAAAACGUCUGCUUUUCUCAUACACCUCUGCUUGUAUUCAUCUUUCUAUCUUCGCUUGGGUUCUCCCAGAAGCAAACUCUGAGCCAAAGAGUUGGGAAGCACAAGGGACACGGGUAAAAUAAUACACGGAAGGGCUGAUACAAGGAAUACAGGAAUGAUGCAAGGCAGCCAGAUACAGGGGGAGCUUUAAGGCCAGUGCCCGCAGUUGGCUGCUGGGGCGUUACCCCAUGGGGAAGCUCUGGGAAGCAGUGCAAAGCACAGACCUCGGAAUUUACUAGUGGAUGGGUUAUGAAGCUGUGGGAUUUGGGCAACAACUCCUGGCAGUCAUUUGUGAGGAUUAUUCCUUGGGCAGUGAUUUCCUCAGCUCUCCCAGCCUGUCAUGCACGUGUGCAGACAGAGAGGCCCACAGGUACCGUGAUGCAGGUUCAGGCCGCGGGAAGCCGGCAGGAACAUCUUGAAAGGUGAGGCGCUAAUAAUACUGCUACAGCCGUGGACUCUUGAACACCUAGCCUGUAAGACCACUUAGGAACCACCGGGGAAAGCCAGAAGUCUCUUAUCUUUUUCCCUUUUUUCACAGGUGGAGCAAGUGAAUUAAUUAGGUUGUACAAAAGGCUGCAUUUUCUAUAUAUCAUGUUCAGUUCUAAACAGAAUCUACUCAGCCUUUUGGAAUAAAAAAUAGUCUGUGGUUCUGGACCACAAGCAUGUAUUUUCUUUUUUGUUUAUUUAAAUUUUUUUUAUUAUGGAAAAUUUCAAACAUAUAUAAAGAUAAAGUGAGUAGCUUAAUGAUUAAUCACAUAUUCAUCACUUGGAUUCAUCUUGUUCCGUAAAUAAACCCAUCUAUGUCCCACACCACUCCCUACUGGAUGAAUUUUAAGUAAAAUAUAUCAUUUCAUCCAUGAAUAUUUCAGUGUACAUCUAUAUAAUACAAAAAUAAUUUCACUAUUCUGAUUAUUAACAAUAAUUAAUCAGUAUAAUUAAAUAUCUAGUUCUCGUAUAAAUUUUCAUGUCUUUUUUUUUCUCCUCCUUCUUUCUGUCUCUCUCUGUGCCUGUGGGGUAUGUGUGUGUGUGUGUGUGUGUGUGUGCAUCUACAUUUGGGAUAAUAAGUACCUAAACUUAUUGUCCUUGGUGGAUAUGUUUUCUAAGUCUCUUUGAAUCUAUAGAUUUUACCUUUUUCAUUUUUUUGUUUUAAUUUAUUUAUUGAAAAACCAGACUAGUUGCCCUGUAGAAUUUCCACUACUUUGAGUUUUACUAAUUGCAUUUUUUUACUAAUUGCAUUACAGGAGUGAGCCACUGCGCCUGGCUGAUCAUCUAGUUUUGUGUAGUUCCUGCUCUAGACCUGUAAUCAGCCAUUUUUUCCAAAGUGCUUUAAUUUUUAAACAAAAAGUUGAUGUUUACUUACAUUUAGACAGCAAAAUCUGUGUGCUUAAGGUGUUCAGUACUGCUUGGUUGAUCUUUGUUUCUAUGCUUUUUUUAAGUGGCCAAUUCUUUAAUUGAUUUGACAACAACCAUUAACAACAAUUUUCACUGAUGACCUUGCUGUAGUGACAUAUCAUGAGUCAUAUAUUAUCUUCAUUGAUAGUGCUUUAUGUUUAUUUAGCAAGAAAUUAAUAAGAGCUUACAUAAAUGUGAUUCGGUAAGAUCAUUUUAGCCCGAGGAAAGAGCAUGAACAAAACCACAACCUGGAAAAUGCAAGAAAUCCAAUUUGACAGAGUUGUUUGUACAGGUAGGAAAGUGGUGGGUACUAAAGUCUAGAAAAAGUGUGUUGGAGCUGGGGAGAAGUGCCAAAGGCUGCCAAGUAGCUGAGCAUAGAGCAUCGUAUCUUUUUUUCUUUUUCUUUUCUUUUUUUUUUUUUUUUUGACGUAGGGUCUCACUUUGUCACCCAUGCUGGAGUGCAGUGGUGUAAACGCAGCUCACUGCAGCCUCAACCUACCAGGCUCAAGCAAUCCUCCCACCUCAGUCCCCCAGGUAGCUGGGACUACAGAUGCCUGCCAUCAUGCCUGGCUAAUUUUUGUAUUUUUUGUAGAGAAAGAGUUUUUAUAAAGACCAGCCCAGGCUGGUCUUGAACUUCUGAGCUCAAGCGAUCUGUCCACCUUGGCCUCCCAAAGUGCUGGGAUUACAGGCAUGAGCCACCGUGCCUAGCCCUGAGCAUCAUAUCAGGGCUAGGCAUGGUGGCUCAUGCCUGUAAUCACAGACCUGUUGAUGGAUCACGAAGAAUAUGAUGGGCAGCAGAUGAUAUGAUAUGCCAGCUUUGGAAUCGCACAGACCUGGGCUUUAAUCCUAGCUUUGCCAAUUAUUGGACAAGCAAAAGCUUAAUUUUAUUUAGGUGAUGAUAAACCACACAAAUAUUCCACUAAAGCAAAGCAGGAUGUAUGAUCAUCUAUUACCACCUUAUAUCAUUUAAUCCAGACUUCAAAUUGUCCAUGGUCACUCUGCUACCACUUUAGCGAUGGGAAGUACAAGGAGGAAAAAUCAGAGAGAAAAGAGAGAGCAGUCUCUUCAAUUAUAAAUAAAAUAUGUCUGCAAAUUGUAAAACAUUGGACCAUGUGGACAUAUUGCUAGAGCUGUCUCAAAUGAGAGACCUUGAAAGUUAAGUCUUAUUGGUUUCAUGGUCACUCAGCUUUGAGGAUGAGGAAAGGAGAAGAACAAGGACUUCUGCCUUGAGUCACUUUUCCUUAAUGAGGGCAGCAGAAACCCUGGAAGCAUUUCAGAAGAUAGUACCUGUCAGGCUUCCUGGCCCCUCAUUGACUCUCAGUUUUAUACCCACACACACACCCACACUCACUCCUGUGGAUUUUCUUAGCUCUAAACCAGUAAGGAGAAAAUCUUAAUGAAUGGUAUUCUGUACACUAAUGCACACAGAGAAGGUCCACUUUAAACCUGAUCUUGAUAAAAUUGUGGUUUAUCAUUUCUCUUAACUCUUUAUGGAGUUACUGAGCUAAGAUGUACUCAUCUUUGUGCUGAGUGAUUUGGGGUUCACAGACACGAUGACCAGAGGGAUCAUCAGGUCUUUAAGGCAAGAAGAACCUAGAGACUCGUAAGACAACUCUCUCAUUUCACAGAUGAAGAUACUAAUACCCCCAAGAAAUUUAUAAUCUUAUAUGAGAGGAUUAAAAAAAACUUGAAAUAAUUAAAUAGUAAUCUACAAUGUCACAGGAUGAAGUUCUCCAUUUUAUAUGGGUUAUAUGUGCUCUAGGAGUCCAACGAGGCAUCCAUUGCAGUAGCCAUCAAUGGAGAGAGAUAAGAGCCUUGACAUUUACUGAGGGUAUAAAGUGUGUAAGCGGUUUUAUCCGUGUGAUCUUGGGUCUAAUAUUUGCCCAGGGGAUUAAAGAAUAAGACAGAAGUAUCUGACAGAACUUGGGAAGUUUAAGAAAAUGCUCAAAUGUAGAAAACUAUGGCUUGUCUGGAAGAUGGUGGUGGAGAAUUGGGAUGAACAUUUGGAUAGAAAAGAAACAAAUGUAUGAGAAUGAGACAGUCAUGAGUAUGAACCAGGAUCCCCAGCAAAGGUUAGCAAUCACUGGUUUGGCAGUUAAAAUUUGUAUUUUAGAAAGAAUAGCUCAGCAAUUACUGCAGUCACAGAUAAUUUCAUAGCUGCCCUUGUCCCCAAGAGAGCUUAAACCUUCAAGAUCACAAAAACAGAUCAAUUUAGCUAUUAAUAUACAUUAAACUAAUGCAUUAAUUGCAUAAAAUGACUUUACAUACAAAAUUUAAAUGGUUUUACUAUAAUUAGUGGGCAGAAAGGUCCACUGAGCACCUAUUGUCACUCAAAUUUAAAUCUUCACAUAAAAUUCUGUUAAGAUGGUUCAAAAAUGUAACCAUGGCUUGUCAUCAGUUACCUGCAUUAAUAUUGUCAUGCACAUUUUAAGAACAAAUAUUGCCAUGUCUUAAGAAUUAUUAGUGAUCCCUUUAGACUGUGAGCACUCUGGUAGCAGACACUAGCAUGCUGAUUUAUUAUGCCAUUUCUCUCUCAAAAGACAAAAACAAAAAAACAAAACAAAAAAAAACCUCCAAACCUUUAAAACCAAACUCUCUCUCUCUCUAACACACACACACACACACGCACGCACACACAUACACAUAUGUUUUCAUUGUAUAUAAUCUGUUGUAGCACACUGUUAAUAUAUGUUUUCCUCCUACUCUAAGGGCUAUCCCUGUGCUCGCAGCCAAUGUGAGCUAGCCCAUAUUUUUCUCUGUUUGACCUUCUGGGACCAUGAGUGGUGCAAUGCUCUUGGCUUAUGAGUGCUCUACUACUCUGUACAGAGGAUGUGGUUUUCUAGCUGCUGUUGUUAAGAGCUAUUUACUACACAGUGACCUUUCUUUCUGCAGUUUAUUUUGUGUUCUAGUGAACAUUUUUGACCCAUAAAGGCUGGUAAAAUUGUGCAAAUGAUAGACGUAAACUUGCCCCAAAGGAACAAAGGAUUCUGUCAUGCACAUUUGGUAGAGUGUCAUGACCGACAGAAAUUAGGGAUUAAUGGAAAUCCUUAUGGAGGUCAUAAACAUCACCGCAGCCUAAAGGAAUCAGGCCACUGUUUGGACAGGGACCUGGAGAAAUUGAUGGCAAGAGGCAUGACAUGAUUCCUGGGAACCUGGAGGGUCUUUGCUAAUGGCCCACCCCAGGAAUGCAUCUUGGGGCGGGGGUACAUAUGUAGCGUGGUGAAAGUGGGGCUAGGGCUGGAGCUGGCGCUGACUUUGGAAGAAGUACUGAGGCUAUGGGGACAAGCUUGGCACAGCCCAGUGCACAUUCUAACCUCUCCUACUCAAUCUUUAUAAAGAAGGAAACCUGUCCCUCCAAGAGUCCUGUAAUGAGAGUGUUGAUAGACUAGAAUUGAGUGACAACAGUCCCCCCCAACCCCAAUAAGAAGAGCUGAGAGAGAUGAUUUUACAGUAUUUCCUCUCAUCAAAGUAACGCAGGCUUGACUCUCGCUUCCUGACACAGAAAAUUGCAUUUUGUCACCCAUUUGUCAGUUCUUACAGAUUUUAAGAUAAUUAAAGAACAUUAUAGCAGGUGACAGCUGUUGCCGAAUGCCGUGUUGCUAGUUCUUCUGCUCGUUGGAUGCCCAUGAAUCUCGAAUGAUGAUAGCUUGGUGCUCCAGGUUUAAUUAGCUGGUUGUUUGGAAUCUGUCUAGGCUCUCAGGUGUGGGGUGAGCAGGCUUGCAGUUUGUCGAAUCUGAGCUGUGCUCAUCACUGGCUGUUGGAACUGGGUUUGAUCAGCUCACGGAAGAGCCAGCUGGGGGUGCCCUGAGUGUUAUCAGACAAGGGCAUCAAAGGAAUGAGGAAUGCAGGGUUUUGGUGAUGGCUAUUAAGAGAAUCCCACGCUGAUUGGUUUCCUGAUGUUCUUGCAUCAAAUCAGGCUUUUGUUUUCAAAUUUAUUUUCUGAUCACAUCUCCUUCGAGGCCAUCUCUUUUGUUAUACAGCACAGCGAUCAUACUCCAUCGGGAUUUAUCUCCAAGUUCGUUUGUCAAAAACUCCCUCACAUGCAGGGGGAGAACUAAGUGGUCUCGACCCUGGCUUUUAAGUUCGCCCUCACCCCCAAAUCAUACAUGUUUUCAAGCUUGUCUGAAAACACAAAAGUGGUUUCAGGAAUAAUUUUUAAAAUUAUCCUUAACUUACACAAAAAGUUCAUUUCUAACAAUAUACCGUGAAUCAUUACGAGUGAUACAGUAGAAGUACAUCCGUUUCUAUUUUAGAACUGCAGGGAAAGUCUUGUGCUUAUAGAAACAACUUACAGUCCCUCAGAUCACAUGCAUUCUUUCAGCCUUUGCUUUCACACCAUUCUGCCUUGAAAUUUUUCUUACUUUUGUACACCAGACAAAUUCAUGCUCAUUUCAAAUUUUUAAAAAAAUUAUUUUUGUUUUUUUGUGGGUAUAUAGUAGGUGUGCAUAUUUAUGGGGUACAUGAGAUGUUUUGAUACAAGCAUGCAGUGUGAAAUAAGGUAUUGGCACACAGGCCACCUUUUUGAAACCUUCUUAGAUUCCACCUCGUGGAUCUAGGCCCUUUUCUGUUCGCUUCUGCUUCCUGUGCUCUUUGCGUGCAAGUUUCUCUAUACAGAAUCAAAGCCAUUGAUAUAGCAUAUGGUCUACAUUCACUUGACUUGAUUAUUUCAUUGUCUUCAACACAAUUUUUCUUUCUUUUCCUUUUUUAAAAUGAUUUAUUUAUUUUUUUGAGAUGGAAUCUUGCCCUGCCACCCAGGCUGGAGGGUAGUGGCACCAUCUCAGCUCACUGCAACCUCUGUCUCCCAGGUUCAAGUGAUUCUCCACCCUCAGCCUCCUGAGUAGCUGGGGCUACAGGCAUGUGCUGUUUUUAUUUUUUUAUGGGUACAUAGUAGGUGUAUAUAUUUACGGGGUACCUGAGGCAUUUUGAUAUAGGGAUACAAUGUGUAAUAAUCACAUCAAGGUAAAUGGGGUAUCCAUCACCUCAAGCAUUUAUCAUUUCUUUGUGUUACAAACAUUUCGAUUACACUCUUUUUGUUAUUUCAAAAUGUACAAUAAAUUGUUGUUGAAUGUAGUCACCCUGUUGCGUUAUCAAAUACUAGAUCUUAUUCAUUCUAUCUAACUGCAUUUUCAUACCCAUUAACCUUCCCCACUUCCCCCGCUCCCCCACUACCCUUCCCAACCUCUAGUAACCAUCAUUUUCCUCUCUAUCUCUAUGAGUUUAAUUAUUUUAAUUUUUAGUUUCCAAAAGUGAGUGAGAACAUGUGAAGUUUGUCUUUCUGUGCCUGGCUUAUUUCACUUAACAUAGUGCCCUCCAGUUCCAUCCAUGUUGUUGCAAAUGACAGGACCUCAUUCUUUUUUUUUAUGGCAGAAUAGUACUCCAUUGCAUGUAUGUGCCACAUAUUCUUUAUCGAUUCAUCUGUUGAUGGACACUUAGGUUGCUUCCAGGUCUUGGCUGUUGUGAAUAACGCUGCCAUAAACACGGGAGUGCAGAUAUCCUUCGACAUGCUGAUUUCAUUUCCUUUGGAUAAAUAACCAGUUGUAGGAUUGCUGGAUCAUAUGGUAGUUCUAUUUUAAGUUUUUUUGAGGAACCUCUAAAUUGUUCUCCAUAGUAGUUGUACUAAUUUACAUUCCUACCAACAGUGUACAAGGGUUCCCUUUUCUCCCCACCUCACCAGCAUUCAUUAUUUCCUGUCUUUUGGAUAAAAGCCAUUUUAACUGCGGUGAGAUAAUAUCUUACUGUAUUUUGAUUUGCAUUUCUCUCCUGAUCAAUGAUGUUGAACAGUUUUUCAUAUGCCUGUUUGCCAUUCAUAUGUCUUCUUUUGUGAAAUGUCUAUUUGGAUCCUUUGCCCAUUUUUAAAUGGGAUUAUUAUAUUUUUUUCCCCUAUAGAGUUGUUUGAUAUUCUGGUUGCUAAUCCUUUGUCAGAUGAAUAGUUUGCAAAUGUUUUCUCCCUCAUUGUCUUCAACACAACUUUACUAUUUCAUGAGACUCUUUUUGAGGAAGAUACAAGUUGUAAAUAAUUUUAUUUUUUAUUCCAAGGAUUUACAGAGUCCUAUCAACUUAAUAGAGUGCAUCAGUGAACAGUUUACAAAGGACUCUUUGAACCCUUUGCUUCAAAAAUCUUGCACUACUGUGUUCACCAAUCCUAAACUAUGAUCCUUACUCAAUUCUAAUCAGGCCUCUAUAUUGAAAGACCUGCUUUAAACUAGAGUUAAAAGUCUUGUUGAAGAUCUUGGCUGGGCGUGGUGGCUCAUGCCUGUAAUCGCAGCACUUUGGGAGGCCGAGGAGGGUGGAUCAUCUGAGGUCAGGAGUUUGAGACCAGCCUGACCAACAUGGUGACACCCUGUCUCUACUAAAUAAAUAUAAAAAAAUUAGCUGGGUUUGGUGGCGCAUGCCUGUAAUCCCAGCUACUUGGGAGGCUGAGGCAGGAGAAUUGCUUCAACCCAGGAGUCGGAGGUUGCAGUGAGCCGAGAUCAUGCCACUGCACCCCAGCCUGAACAACAAGAACGAAACUCCAUCUCGAAAAAAAAAAAAAAAAUUUUGACUUUGCCCUAUCCUCUCUAGGAUAUUACUAAGGCUCUGUUGACCUACUGUUCUCCCUUACCAUGGCAAGCAGUAACUCAGCUUUGUUUUAUCAACGCAUGCUUUGGUGAUACUUUGGGGGAACCAGCAUUUGACACCAUGACAGCCCAUGCUACUUUGUCUUUUACUUGAUUGUGUCUCUCUUCCCUGUUUACCAUGAACUCUUGAGGAUAAGAAUUAUGUCUUUACCCUCCUGCCUAUCCUGGGGUCUUAUGUGUAACAAAGAGCCUAAGAAAUAAAUAUGCAUCUCUUGGAAAAUGGAAUUAGUGAGAUGGAGAGGAAGCUAAUGUCUUGAUACAUAGAGAAAGCAUACUGCUUGACCACAUUCAAACUUGUUCAGUGCUUUUCCGAGUCCUUUUCAGCCUGAGUUUUAACAAUCUUUAUGUUUAGCCCCAAUCCAUCCAUCUAACUGUAUUUCCAACACAUUCUCCCCUCCUGUAAACCAAUCUUCCUUAUUGGGCCAUGCACUUAUGCACCUACAGGUAUCCACGUAUUCUGUUUCAUGUGCCAGGAAUGUCUGAUGCUAAACUUUGUGCAAAAUUUAAGAUCAAAUUAAUUCUAAAUUCUCUAGGUAGUCCUCAAUUUCUCUACUACAUUCGAUUCUGUUUUUACUUUUAACUUUUAUAGUAUUGUUGUGGCCAGAACCUCAUUUUUUUUUUUGGCACUGUUCUCAUAUAACUGAUAUUUAUUCAGUUAAUUUUGAUAUUGAAUUCAGGUGCAAGAUCCUUGAAGGGGUGGGUUGCCCCUCCACACCUGUGGGUGUUUCUCGUUAGGUGGAAUGAGAGACUUGGAAAAGAAAGAGACACAGAGACAAAGUAUAGAGAAAGAAAAGUGGGCCCAGGGGACCGGCGUUCAGCAUACGGAGGAUCCACGGCAGCACCGGCCUCUGGGUUCCCUUAGUAUUUAUUGAUCAUUAACGGGCGUGGCAGGAUAAUAGGAUAAUAGUGGAGAGAAGGUCAGAAAGUAAACACGUGAACAAAUGCCUCUGCAUCAUAAGCAAGGUAAAGAAAAAAGGCCGGGCGCGGUGGCUCACGCCUGUAAUCCCAGCACUUUGGGAGGCCGAGGCGGGUGGAUCAUGAGGUCAGGAGAUCCAGACCAUCCUGGCUAACAAGGUGAAACCCCGUCUCUACUAAAAAUACAAAAAAUUAGCCGGGCGUGGUGGCGGGCGCCUGUAGUCCCAGCUACUCGGGAGGCUGAGGCAGGAGAAUGGCGUGAACCCGGGAAGCGGAGCUUGCAGUGAGCCGAGAUUGCGCCACUGCAGUCCGCAGUCUGGCCUGGGCAACAGAGCGAGACUCCAUCUCAAAAAAAAAAAAAAAAAGUACUCUGCUUUUGAUGUGCAUAUACAUAAACAUCUCAAUGCCUCAAGGAGCAGUAUUGCUGCCAGCAUGUCCCACCUCCAGCCCUAAGGCGGUUUUCCCCUAUCUCAGUAGAUGGAAUACACAAUCGGCUUUAUACUGAGACAUUACAUUGCCCAGGGAUGAGCAGGAGACAGAAGCCUUCCUCUUAUCUCAACUGCAAAGAGGCGUUCCUUCCUCUUUUACUAAUCCUCCUCAGCACAGACCCUUUACGGGUGUCGGGCUGGGGGACGGUCAGGUCUUUCCCUUCCCACGAGGCCAUAUUUCAGACUAUCACAUGGGGAGAAACCUUGGACAAUACCUGGCUUUCCUAGGCAGAGGUCCCUGCAGCCUUCCGCAGUGUUUUGUGUCUCUGGGUACUUGAGAUUAGGGAGUGGUUUGAGAUUAGGGAGUAGUUUGAGAUUAGGGAGUGGUGAUGACUCUUAAUAAGCAUGCUGCCUUCAAACAUUUGUUUAACAAAACACACCCUGCACAGCCCUUAAUCCAUUUAACCCUGAGUUGACAGAGCACAUGUUUCAGGGAGCACAGGGUUGGGGGUAGGGUUACAGAUUAACAGCAUCUCAAGACAGAAUUUUUCUUAGUACAGAACAAAAUGGAGUCUCCUAUGUCUACUUCUUUCUACACAGACACAGUAACAAUCUGAUCUCUCUUUCUUUUCCCCACAAUCCUCUACUCAUCAUUCAGUAAUUUACUCAACUAAUGUUUAUAGAAACCCACUAUGGCAAUCUACUUGAUAAUACAAGGGAUGCAGCAAUGAUUAAGACAGCAUGAUCUUGUACAUUUUUAGUUUUUUUUUUUUUUUAAGUAUCCACAAGUUCCUUAGCACAUGGCCAAGUAAAACAUCAAUGCUCAGCCAACUCUUUUGGUUAUUUGGUUCUUCCUCCAGACCUUCUUCACAUUCAUCAAAGCUUUCAUGUAACCACAGGGAGGCUGGCUUGUUAUUUUGUGCCCAGUUUUAUUGAAUAUUCUAUCAACCUUGCUAAAAAGAAACUUACCGUAGAGAAACUUAACAUCAGUUACCAUAGUUGCUGAAAAUUUUGAUUAUCUGGAGUAAGAAAUGGUAAACAAAAAGUGAGAUUAAAUUGACCUAAAAUACAUAAGAUGGUAUAGGACUUUGAAUGUUGGCUGGUGAGGGGUGGAGAGAGAAGCAGGAAAGUGCAGGGGCUAGUUAGUAGAACAAGCAAAGGCCAAGUUGGCUUCAAAUAAAGUGGCUAAGUGUCCACAACAUUGUCCAUAAGGAAAGGGCUGAAGAAAGCAGUUUCCUAGCCAACUAUGCCAUUGCAUGGGGCUGCUUUGUGGGGAUCUUUAGGUAGUGAAAAUAUUCGUCAUCAAUGGAUGGUUCAGAGUUCCCAAGGUUAUGUCUUCUUUGAAAUUGUGUCUGAUGUUACAGGUGCACAUACUGGCCUCUGGGAAAAGGGGACGUCAAGGGCGGGAGGAGGAGCUGGCUAGGUUCAUUGUUGGAAAUCUAUCCACAUGAGAGCAAGUUCAAGGAGGACCCUAGACCCUGUAGGGAAGACAGAAUAUCAUCAGGAAAAGAAAGAAUAGUUGCAUUCUUUUUUUUUUUUAUUAUACUUUUAGUUUUAGGGUACAUGUGCUAAUAUCCAGAAUCUACAAAGAACUCAAACAAAUUUACAAGAAAAAAACAAACAACCCCAUCAACAAGUUGCAUUCUUUAGGAGUCAAUUUGAAGGGAAAAUGCUAAAUAAGCAUGCCAUACCCAACACUUUCUUGGACUGGGGAAGCAAGACUAUUGGCAACCACGCAGACAUGGUGCUGGUGCAUUUAUUACCACAUAUAUAGAUAGGUUUGGCAGAAUCGGCUCCACCUUUGAGUGGGGUAGAGGUAGAGUUGCAGGUCAAAGGCUUUUUCAUACCCAGAGGAACGCUGAAAGUAAUAGGAGAAACCGGGACCAGCAGGCAUUGACAUUGUAACAGUUUAGUCCUUUUCCAUUUUUUCUCUUUUGACACGACUAGAAUAGUUUACAUUAUUUUGUCUUUCUUCUUCUCAUGCGGAAGGUAGGGAAAUUACUUAGCUGUGAAAUGACUCAUGCAGAAACAAAGAUCAAAUAUGAAGGGAAAGCAAGGAAAAUAAAUAUAAAUGUAUUGGAUAGCCAACUCCUGAAUAUUGAAGGCAAAAAAACAAAACAAAACAAAAAAUCCACAAAAAACCCAUGGGCAUUAUUUUGAGAAUGAAAUAGUGUGCUGAUGGAAGAUCAGGUGGUUUCACCAGAAUUUGGAUUAGUGUUCAUGUGAGUGAACCCUUCUUCCAACUUACAAAUAAUUUAAGAAAAGAUAAUACACAACGAAGAUCAAUAUGCAGUCAUUGAAGCAGAAAUUAUUGGAAUAGUGCAAAUUGGAGCAUUCAGAAGAAAAACUGUAUUACAAUUCCUCUUUCAUUGUAUAUGAACCUAUUAAAACAAUUUGCAACUUUCAUUUACCAGAAUAACACUCCCUCCCAUAAACAAGUAUUGGCACCAACUCAAUCACAUUCGCUAUAUUCUGAGUAGUGUUAAUUUAUUUUUUUCUUACAUCACUGAUUGCCACAGUAUAUUCACUUUGAUUUUAAAAACCCAGAACACAACUUAAUUUUAACAAAUAAUGUAAUUUAAAAGAACUAUUUAUUGAGUCCUAUACUAAAUUGUAUUUUUUCCCAUAGAGUAUUGCCAUAGAGUAUUGAAUUUUCAAACUUUGUUCCUAUUACUUCCAGCUUUUUUUUUUUUUCCCACUAGGACUUUUCCAUCCUUUUAUCUGAAAGAAACAAUCCCUUCUCAGUUUUCUUAUUAAAAAUAUUUUACCUAUAACUGAUCAGAGCGCAGUCAUCCUAAAAGCAGAUUUAUUCAGAAGACAGAUAAUAAUCCAGUUGCUGAGAAACUAAAUGGAUAAAUUAGUUCUUAAUUCUGAUAUACUCUGCUUUAACACACAUUGGCCAUGUCUGAAAUUUUUUUCUGAAGGUCAUUUAUAUUGUCCAUAUCUGCACUUUCUGUUUUCUCUUACGGGAGUCAGGCUCUGAUGAGGUAAAAUAUAAGGCAUUCCCGGAGACAUUAUGCUCUGGUUACAAAGCAGAAGACUGGUCAUUUCAAAUCCUCCCUUCUACUUUUGGCAGAUGGCUGUGGGAUUGCAAAACUAGUAGGAGCUGUUUGUGACUCAGUUUUUCCAACUCUUAAAAAGGGAAUAAUGUAUCAAAAUCCAUCUUGCACUUACAGAAAUUUGUGGAGAAUAUGUGAAAUAAUUUGAUAAUUUCUAUAAAAAUGCUUUCUAUGUUUUGUUGAAACUCUUCUAUUUUAAAAUUUCAUACUAUUCUCAGACAAUAAAAUGGUGAAAUUAAAGUGGACUUGAUUACCAAGCUUAUUUUUAUAAGAUAAAAAACCGCAUAUCUGACAUUUACUAUAGCUUUGAAAACAAAACUUUGUUCAAAUGAAUAAUUUUCUGUGGAAAGCAUGAAAAAGAGGCUUUUCGAAAUGAUAACUAAAAUAAUUAUUACCUUUUUGAACUUAUAACCACAGCAUGACCAUAGUAUAAAAUGAAAAAAAAAGGCAAAAGCCAUAAUCAUUAAUAACCCUUCCAAUAAUCAAUCUAACAAGAAUGUUACUGAUGGAAAAAAUUGGCUUAGAAAGUACAUGCUUAGUAUUUAGUAGUCUCAAUAUUACUGCCAUUAUUACAACAAUAGAGCAUGCAUUAAAUUGUAAAUCAAGCAUAGUGUAUACUUACUUGGGGGAGAGGACAUACUGUGAGUGAUGCAAAAUGAUUCUUCUAACAGCCUUAGGUUAUAACAAUGAGCAGGCAUUCCAUAGAAGCUCAAAGCAGGAGGUGCAUCCUAGCUUUCAGUUGUUAAGAGGAUGACAUGGGCUCUCUUUUGAUUUGGCCAAUGCUCUGGUAUUUUAGAGUGUACAAGAAGAACAUGCAUGACUACUGGGUGAGUUUUAGAAUGGCUUCAUCCAUUUGGAAUGGGAAUGCAUUAGGUGAUCUGAAAAAAAAAUCUCUUCCAGUGUUGACAUUCUAUGAUUCUAGUCUUUUUGGAAAGAAAUUCAUAGAUUUGAUACUUGUACCUCAGGACCGUAUACUCUAUAGCAGACACAGAGGUACAUAUGUGGAGAGUUGUUCACCCGUAGAACUGGAUACAUUUUCAUCAACGCCUUGGUGAUUAUGUUGCUUUUGGUAAUAUCAGCAAGACUUGUUUUUAUCAUGACCUAUUGCCACAGGACUGUGUGUACUAUAAAUGUUACUGCUGUUUUUACUGUGAGUAUAACUCAGGGAGGAAAGACGUAGCAGCUUUGCCUCUGGUGGUGAGAGGCAGGAAAGGAGAGCCAGGGCAUUGCCAUGGUACAAAUAAUAGCCAUGCAAUCCCUGAUCACUCUUUCCUAGUCCUGAUUAAACUGAAUGCUGAUGGGCUGACUAAGGUCCUUUCUAAACUUCCAGGACAUCUGCUACCCCCAAAUGUUAGUGGCUCAUAAGCAUUAUGCAGUAAUCAAAAGUAGAGAACUGAAACUCUUCUUAAUUUUGUAACUGUGAAGAGCAAGCACAUUUUAUCUUUUAGUUUUGUACCUCCAACCUCUAAAAAUCAUUAAAUGCUUCCUUGGAAGGGGUAUUGUUUCACUUACCACCAUUAUUAGAAUAAAAAGUGUGGAGUAAUUUAUCAAUAGAUCAGGGUCAAGAAAUUUUUAAAAUUCUACUCUUUACCUCAUGAAGCCGCUAGCACUGCAGAUGGGCAUGGUGGAAGGAGAGUGAUUUUAAAGGAAGGCAGAUGUUGUUCAAACUCUGUGCCUGCCACUUAAUAAAUGAGGGACCUUAAUAGAGUUAAUUAGCCUUCCGAGUCUCAGUUUCAUCAUCUAUAAAAUAAAGAUACUGAAACAAUUUAUAGUGGUUGUUGUACUGGACACAUAGGCAGCAGGAAACAAAUGGUGGAGAAUGUCGCAUUUGUUGUAGGGGUUUGACUAUAGACAAUGGAGGGAUCUUGUUAAAGAGUUUAUGCACAGUUACUGCAUCUGUGUUGGCUGCUGCAGCUUGCAGUCAGCUUGGUCAGGAAGAAGGAUGGAAGAAGAUGGAUGAGAAGAAAGAUGGACAAGAAGUAGGAGAGAGUGAGUACAGAUUAGAACCUGCAAGGAAGGGCUGGAGUUCUCAAGGAUGAAAUGGAACUCAGGUGAGGCUCAUAGCCUCCAGGCCUCCCACUUUGAUGAGGUGGAUGAUCCAGCAGUAUUUGGAGGAGCUAAAGCCUGGGUGUUGCUUCACGCCAAGGUGAGUCAGCAGAUUAGAAUGAGCAUGAGCUGCAGGAGUGCUGGGAACAGCGCCCGCAGCCCUGCUCCAGCCUUGCGAAUAGCAGGAGAAUAUGGCAUCCAUUUCACUUCCACCUUCCACGUCUCACGUUAAAUGUCCCUGGUGGCCCAAGUGAAUCUAGAACUGUCCAGGGAAAGGGGAUUCUGGUUAACAGUCCCAGUGAGCUAAGUUAACACAGAACAAAGCCACCAUAGGGUAAAGUACCUAUUGAUAUUAAGAAUUCCUUCCACCCUUCUUUUCUCUUAAUCAUCCAGCCUGUUCUCACACCUUGCAUGCAGUUGCCAUUCGAAUUCCUCCUGGUAUUCAAGCACACACAGUGAAAUUCUCUCUUCCUCAACAUAUCUCUAUAUCAGCAGUUCUCAACCAAGGUGGCUUUGCCCCUCAGGGGACAGUUGGCAGUGUCUGGAGACAUUUGGGGUUGUCAUGACAAGGGAGAGAACACUACUGUCAUCUAGUGGGUAAAGGUCAGAGAUGCUAAAUGUCCUGUGAUGCACGGUACAGCCUAUAACAAAGAAUUAUCCAGCUCAAAAUGUCAGUGAUCCUAAGACUGAGAAACCCUGUUGUGUCGUCACUUGCUCAUUUAUCUCCAUGGUUUCUGGGGAAGAAUCAUUUGCUUCUUUCCUAAAGUCAGCUCCUUCACUUGUGCUUUUGCUCAUUUCACUUUGAACCCUUGUAGAAGCCCAUUUGCUCGCUUCUCUCUCCAUUUACCUCACAGACCAAACAUAUUAAAACGAUCACAUUUGCUUUCCCUUUAGAUCUUUCAAAGUUCCAUGCACUUGCUAGCUCUUUCUUUAAUUACAAACUCUAAUCGAAGGAUCCAUUGAUUACUCGUUUCCUUCAUACCCCUGGAGUCUGGUGCCUCAGCAAAAACUUCACAGCCAAAAUUUUAGAUUAGUGAGAAGCUUAUUCUGAAAAAACUUGUGGAUUUUUAAAAGGUAAAAUUAAUGGACUUUCCAGUCAAAUUAAUUUUAUUUCUUAUAUACGUGCUUUUCAAAUUCUCCUAUCCCCUUCAUGAAGUCAUCAUGUCAAAUUUUUUUUUCUUUUUAAUUUAUUAUUAUUUUUUAUUAUUAUACUUUAAGUUUUAGGGUACAUGUGCACAUUAUGCAGGUUAGUUACAUAUGUACACAUGUGCCAUGCUGGUGCGCUGCACCGACUAACUCGUCAUCUAGCAUUAGGUAUAUCUCCCAAUGCUAUCCCUCCCCCCUCCCCCCACCCCACAACAGUCCCCAGAGUGUCAUAUUCCCCUUCCUGUGUCCAUGUGAUCUCAUUGUUCAAUUCCCACCUAUGAGUGAGAAUAUGCAGUGUUUGGUUUUUUGUUCUUGCGAUAGUUUACUGAGAAUGAUGGUUUCCAAUUUCAUCCAUGUCCCUACAAAGGACAUGAACUCAUCAUUUUUUAUGGCUGCAUAGUAUUCCAUGGUGUAUAUGUGCCACAUUUUCUUAAUCCAGUCUAUCAUUGUUGGACAUUUGGGUUGGUUCCAAGUCUUUGCUAUUGUGAAUAAUGCCGCAAUAAACUUACGUGUGCAUGUGUCUUUAUAGCAGCAUGAUUUAUAGUCAUUUGGGUAUAUACCCAGUAAUGGGAUGGCUGGGUCAAAUGGUAUUUCUAGUUCUAGAUCCCUGAGGAAUUGCCACACUGACUUCCACAAUGGUUGAACUAGUUUACAGUCCCACCAACAGUGUAAAAGUGUUCCUAUUUCUCCACAUCCUCUCCAGCACCUGUUGUUUCCUGACUUUUUAAUGAUUGCCAUUCUAACUGGUGUGAGAUGGUAUCUCACUGUGGUUUUGAUUUGCAUUUCUCUGAUGGCCAGUGAUGAUGAGCAUUUUUUCAUGUGUUUUUUGGCUGCAUAAAUGUCUUCUUUUGAGCAGUGUCUGUUCAUGUCCUUCGCCCACUUUUUGAUGGGGUUGUUUGUUUUUUUCUUGUAAAUUUGUUUGAGUUCAUUGUAGAUUCUGGAUAUUAGCCCUUUGUCAGAUGAGUAGGUUGCAAAAAUUUUCUCCCAUUUUGUAGGUUGCCUGUUCACUCUGAUGGUAGUUUCUUUUGCUGUGCAGAAGCUCUUUAGUUUAAUUAGAUCCCAUUUGUCAAUUUUGUCUUUUGUUGCCAUUGCUUUUGAUGUUUUGGACAUGAAGUCCUUGCCCAUGCCUAUGUCCUGAAUGGUAAUGCCUAGGUUUUCUUCUAGGGUUUUCAUGGUUUUAGGUCUAACGUUUAAAUCUUUAAUCCAUCUUGAAUUGAUUUUUGUAUAAGGUGUAAGGAAGGAAUCCAGUUUCAGCUUUCUAUAUAUGGCUAGCCAGUUUUCCCAGCACCAUUUAUUAAAUAGGGAAUCCUUUCCCCAUUGCUUGUUUUUCUCAGGUUUGUCAAAGAUCAGAUAGUUGUAGAUAUGCGGCGUUAUUUCUGAGGGCUCUGUUCUGUUGCAUUGAUCUAUAUCUCUGUUUUGGUACCAGUACCAUGCUGUUUUGGUUACUGUAGCCUUGUAGUAUAGUUUGAAGUCAGGUAGUGUGAUGCCUCCAGCUUUGUUCUUCUGGCUUAGGAUUGCCUUGGUGAUGCGGGCUCUUUUUUGGUUCCAUAUGAACUUUAAAGUAGUUUUUUCCAAUUCUGUGAAGAAAGGCAUUGGUAGCUUGAUGGGGAUGGCAUUGAAUCUGUAAAUUACCUUGGGCAGUAUGGCCAUGUUCACGAUAUUGAUUCUUCCUACCCAUGAGCAUGGAGUGUUCUUCCAUUUGUUUGUAUCCUCUUUUAUUUCCUUGAGCAGUGGUUUGUAGUUCUCCUUGAAGAGGUCCUUCACAUCCCUUGUAAGUUGGAUUCCUAGGUAUUUUAUUCUCUUUGAAGCAAUUGUGAAUGGGAGUUCACUCAUGAUUUGGCUCUCUGUUUGUCUGUUGUUGGUGUAUAAGAAUGCUUGUGGUUUUUGUACAUUGAUUUUGUAUCCUGAGACUUUGCUGAAGUUGCUUAUCAGCUUAAGGAGAUUUUGGGCUGAGAUGAUGGGGUUUUCUAGAUAUACAAUCAUGUCAUCUGCAAACAGGGACAAUUUGACUUCCUCUUUUCCUAAUUGAAUACCCUUUAUUUCCUUCUCCUGCCUGAUUGCCCUGGCCAGAAUUUCCAACACUAUGUUGAAUAGGAGUGGUGAGAGAGGACAUCCCUGUCUUGUGCCAGUUUUCAAAGGGAAUGCUUCCAGUUUUUGCCCAUUCAGUGUGAUAUUGGCUGUGGGUUUGUCAUAGACAGCUGUUAUUAUUUUGAGAUACGUCCCAUCAAUACCUAAUUUAUUGAGAGUUUUUAGCAUGAAGGGUUGUUGAAUUUUGUCAAAGGCCUUUUCUGCAUCUAUUGAGAUAAUCAUGUGGUUUUUGUCUUUGGCUCUGUUUAUAUGCUGGAUUACAUUUAUUGAUUUGCGUAUAUUGAACCAGCCUUGCAUCCCAGGGAUGAAGCCCACUUGAUCAUGGUGGAUAAGCUUUUUGAUGUGCUGCUGGAUUCGUUUUGCCAGUAUUUUAUUGAGGAUUUUUGCAUCAAUGUUCAUCAAGGAUAUUGGUCUAAAAUUCUCUUUUUUGGUUGUGUCUCUGCCCGGCUUUGGUAUCAGAAUGAUGCUGGCCUCAUAAAAUGAGUUAGGGAGGAUUCCCUCUUUUUCUAUUGAUUGGAAUAGUUUCAGAAGGAAUGGUACCAGUUCCUCCUUAUACCUCUGGUAGAAUUCGGCUGUGAAUCCAUCUGGUCCUGGACUCUUUUUGGUUGGUAAACUAUUGAUUAUUGCCACAAUUUCAGCUCCUGUUAUUGGUCUAUUCAGAGAUUCAACUUCUUCCUGGUUUAGUCUUGGGAGAGUGUAUGUGUCGAGGAAUUUAUCCAUUUCUUCUAGAUUUUCUAGUUUAUUUGCGUAGAGGUGUUUGUAGUAUUCUCUGAUGGUAGUUUGUAUUUCUGUGGGAUCGGUGGUGAUAUCCCCUUUAUCAUUUUUUAUUGUGUCUAUUUGAUUCUUCUCUCUUUUUUUCUUUAUUAGUCUUGCUAGCGGUCUAUCAAUUUUGUUGAUCCUUUCAAAAAACCAGCUCCUGGAUUCAUUGAUUUUUUUGAAGGGUUUUUUGUGUCUCUAUUUCCUUCAGUUCUGCUCUGAUUUUAGUUAUUUCUUGCCUUCUGCUAGCUUUUGAAUGUGUUUGCUCUUGCUUUUUUAGUUCUUUCAAUUGAGAUGUUAGGAUGUCAAUUUUGGAUCUUUCCUGCUUUCUCUUGUGGGCAUUUAGUGCUAUAAAUUUCCCUCUACACACUGCUUUGAAUGCGUCCCAGAGAUUCUGGUAUGUUGUGUCCUUGUUCUCGUUGGUUUCAAAGAACAUCUUUAUUUCUGCCUUCAUUUCGUUAUGUACCCAGUAGUCAUUCAGGAGCAGGUUGUUCAGUUUCCAUGUAGUUGAGCGGCUUUGAGUGAGAUUCUUAAUCCUGAGUUCUAGUUUGAUUGCACUGUGGUCUGAGAGACAGUUUGUUAUAAUUUCUGUUCUUUUACAUUUGCUGAGGAGUGCUUUACUUCCAACUAUGUGGUCAAUUUUGGAAUAGGUGUGGUGUGGUGCUGAAAAAAAUGUAUAUUCUGUUGAUUUGGGGUGGAGAGUUCUGUAGAUGUCUAUUAGGUCCACUUGGUGUAGAGCUGAGUUCAAUUCCUGGGUAUCCUUGUUGACUUUCUGUCUCAUUGAUCUGUCUAAUGUUGACAGUGGGGUGUUAAAGUCUCCCAUUAUUAAUGUGUGGGAGUCUAAGUCUCUUUGUAGGUCACUCAGGACUUGCUUUAUGAAUCUGGGUGCUCCUGUAUUGGGUGCAUAUAUAUUUAGGAUAGUUAGUUCUUCUUGUUGAAUUGAUCCCUUUACCAUUAUGUAAUGGCCUUCUUUGUCUGUUUUGAUCUUUGUUGGUUUAAAGUCUGUUUUAUCAGAGACUAGGAUUGCAACCACUGCCUUUUUUUGUUUUCCAUUUGCUUGGUAGAUCUUCCUCCAUCCUUUUAUUUUGAGCUUAUGUGUGUCUCUGCACGUGAGAUGGGUUUCCUGAAUACAGCACACUGAUGGGUCUUGACUCUUUAUCCAAUUUGCCAGUCUGUGUCUUUUAAUUGGAGAAUUUCGUCCAUUUACAUUUAAGGUUAAUAUUGUUAUGUGUGAAUUUGAUACUGUCAUUAUGAUGUUAGCUGGUGAUUUUGCUCGUUAGUUGAUGCAGUUUCUUCCUAGUCUCGAUGGUCUUUACAUUUUGGCAUGAUUUUGUAGUGGCUGGUAGCGGUUGUUCCUUUCCAUGUUUAGCGCUUCCUUCAGGAGCUCUUUUAGGGCAGGCCUGGUGGUGACAAAAUCUCUCAGCAUUUGCUUGUCUGUAAAGUAUUUUAUUUCUCCUUCACUUAUGAAGCUUAGUUUGGCUGGAUAUGAAACUCUGGGUUGAAAAUUCUUUUCUUUAAGAAUGUUGAGUAUUGGCCCCCACUGUCUUCUGGCUUGUAGGGUUUCUGCCGAGAGAUCAGCUGUUAGUCUGAUGGGCUUCCCUUUGAGGGUAACCCGACCUUUCUCUCUGGCUGCCCUUAACAUUUUUUCCUUCAUUUCAACUUUGGUGAAUCUGACAAUUAUGUGUCUUGGAGUUGCUCUUCUCGAGGAGUAUCUUUGUGGUGUUCUCUGUAUUUCCUGAAUCUGAACGUUGGCCUGCCUUGCUAGAUUGGGGAAGUUCUCCUGGAUAAUAUGCUGCAGAGUAUUUUCCAACUUGGUUCCAUUCUCCCUGUGACCUUCAGGUACACCAAUCAGACGUAGAUUUGGUCUUUUCACAUAGUCCCAUAUUUCUUGGAGGCUUUACUCAUUUCUUUUUAGUCUUUUUUCUCUAAACUUCCCUUCUCGCUUCAUUUCAUUCAUUUCAUCUUCCAUCGCUGAUACCCUUUCUUCCAGUUGAUCGCAUCGGCUCCUGAGGCUUCUGCAUUCUUCACGUAGUUCUCGAGCCUUGGUUUUCAGCUCCAUCAGCUCCUUUAAGCACUUCUCUGUAUUGGUUAUUCUAGUUAUACAUUCUUCUAAAUUUUUUUCAAAGUUUUCAACUUCUUUGCCUUUGGUUUGAAUGUCCUCCCGUAGCUCAGAGUAAUUUGAUCCUCUGAAGCCUUCUUCUCUCAGCUCGUCAAAGUCAUUCUCCAUCCAGCUUUGUUCCGUUGCUGGUGAGGAACUGCGUUCCUUUGGAGGAGGAGAGGCGCUCUGCGUUUUAGAGUUUCCAGUUUUUCUGUUCUGUUUUUUCCCCAUCUUUGUGGUUUUAUCUACUUUUGGUGUUUGAUGAUGGUGAUGUACAGAUGGGUUUUCAGUGUGGAUGUCCUUUCUGUUUGUUAGUUUUCCUUCUAACAGACAGGACCCUCAGCUGCAGGUCUGUUGGAAUACCCUGCCGUGUGAGGUGUCAGUGUGCCCCUGCUGGGGGGUGCCUCCCAGUUAGGCUGCUCGGGGGUCAGGGGUCAGGGACCCACUUGAGGAGGCAGUCUGCCGGUUCUCAGAUCUCCAGCUGCGUGCUGGGAGAACCACUGCUCUCUUCAAAGCUGUCAGACAGGGACAUUUAAGUCUGCAGAGGUUACUGCUGUCUUUUUGUUUGUCUGUGCCCUGCCCCCAGAGGUGGAGCCUACAGAGGCAGGCAGGCCUCCUGGACCUGUGGUGGGCUCCACCCAGUUGGAGCUUCCGGGCUGCUUUGUUUACCUAAGCAAGCCUGGGCAAUGGCAGGCGCCCCUCCCCCAGCCUCGCUGCUGCCUUGCAGUUUGAUCUCAGACUGCUGUGCUAGCAAUCAGCGAGAUUCCGUGGGUGUAGGACCCUCCGAGCCAGGUGUGGGAUAUAAUCUCGUGGUGCGCCGUUUUUUAAGCCGGUCUGAAAAGCGCAAUAUUCGGGUGGGAGUGACCCGAUUUUCCAGGUGCGUCCGUCACCCCUUUCUUUGACUCGGAAAGGGAACUCCCUGACCCCUUGCACUUCCCAAGUGAGGCAAUGCCUCGCCCUGCUUCGGCUCGCGCACGGUGCGCGCACCCACUGGCCUGAGCCCACUGUCUGGCACUCCCUAGUGAGAUGAACCCGGUACCUCAGAUGGAAAUGCAGAAAUCACCCAUCUUCUGCGUCGCUCACGCUGGGAGCUGUAGACCGGAGCUGUUCCUAUUCGGCCAUCUUGGCUCAAACUCCGUCAAAUUUUUAUCCCUAAUAUUGUAACAAAACUUUUUUUAAAAAUAUCUCCCGUGACUUCCAGGUUGCUUGAUCCCUUGGUCAUUUCUCACUCCUCUUCGUAUUCACCUCCUCAUCAGUAUUUGGCAUCUUUUUUUUUUAACUUCUUAAUUUUUUUAUUUCAAUAGAUUUUGGGUAGUGUUUGGUUACAUGAAUAAGUUCUUUAGGGGUGAUUUCUGAGAUUUUGGUGCACCCAUCACCUGAACAGUGUACACUGUACCCAAGGUGUAGUCUUUUAUCCCUCGCCACCCCACACUCUUUUCCCUGAUUCCCCAAAGUCCAAUGUAUCAUUCUUAUGCCUUUGUGUUCUCACAGUUUAAGUCCCACAUAUGAGUGAGAAUAUAGGAUGUUUGGUUUUCCAUUCCUGAGUUACUUUACUUAAAAUAAUAGUCUCCAAUUCCAUCCAGGUUGCUGUGAAUGCCAUUAUUUCAUUCAUUUUUAUGACUAAGUAGUAUUUCAUGGUAUAUAUAUACCACAAUUUCUUCAUCCACUCAUUGACUGAUGGGCAUUUGGGCUGGUUCCAUAGUUUUGCAAUUGCAAAUUGUGCUGCUAUAAAUAUGUGUGUACAGGUAUCUUUUUUGUAUAAGACUUCUUUUCCUUUAGGUAGAUACCUAGUAGUGGGAUUGCUGAAUUAAACAGUAGAUCUACUUUUAGUUCUUUAAGGAAUCUCCACAGUGUUUUCCGUAGUGAUUGUACUAGUUUACAUUUCCACCAACAGUGUGAAAGUGUUCCCUUUUCACCACACCCAUGCCAACAUCUAUUUUUUUUUUUAUUAUGGCCAUUCUUGCAGGAGUCAGGUGGUAUUGCAUUGUUGUUUUGAUUUGCAUUUCCCUGAUAAUUAGUGAUAUUGAGCAUUUUUCCAUAUGCUUGUUGGCCAUUUGUAUAUCUUCUUUUCAGAAUUGCGUAUUCAUGUCCUUAGCCCACUUUUUGAUGGUGUUGUUUUUUUUCCUGCUGAUUUGUUUGAAUUCUUUGUAGAUUCUGGAUAGUAGUUCUUUGUUGGAUGUAUAAAUUGUGAAGAUUUUCUCCCACUCUGUGGGUUGUCCAUUAACUCUGCUGAUUGUUUCUUUUGCUGUGCAGAAGCUUUUUAGUUUAAUUAAGUCCCAUCUAUUUAUCUUUGUUUUUGUUGCAUUUGCCUUUGGGUUCUUGGUCAUGAAGUCUUUGCCUAAGUCAAUGUCUAGAAGGGUUUUUCUGAUGUUAUCUUCUAGAGUCUUAAUGGUUUCAAGUCUUAGACUUAAGUCCCACCACCAUUUGUUGAACAGGGUGUCCUUUCCCCACUUUAUGUAAAAGAUAGAGCCAUCUUGGGUUGAUUUUUGUAUAAUGUGAUGAGGAUCCAGUUUUAUUCUUCUGCAUGUGGCUUGCCAAUUAUUCCAGCACCAUUUGUUGAAUAGGGUGUCCUUUCCCCACUUUAUGUUUUUGUUUACUUUGUUGAAGAUCAGUUGGCUGUAAGUAUUUGGGUUUAUUUCUGGGUUCUCUAUUGUGUUCCAUUGGUCUAUGUGUCAAUUUUUAUACCAGUACCAUGCUGUUUUGGUGACUAUGGCUUUAUAGUAUAGUUUGAAGUUGGGUAAUGUGAUGCUUCCAGAUUUGUUCUUUUUGCUUAGUCUUGCUUUGCCUAUGCGGGUUCUUUUUGUUGGUUCCAUAUAAAUUUUAGGAUUUUUUUUUCUAGUUCUGUGAAGAAUGAUGAUGGUGUUUGGAUGGGAAUUGCACUGAAUUUGUAGAUUGCUUUUGGUAGUAUGGUCAUUUUCACAGUAUUGAUUUUACCCAUCCAUGACUAUGAGAUGUGUUUCCAUUUGUUUGUGUCAUCUAUGAUUUCUUUCAGCACUGUUUUGUAGUUUUCCUUGUAGAGGUCUUUUGCAUCCUUGGUUAGGCAUAUUCCUUAGUAUUUCUUUUUUUUUUUUUUUUUGGCAGCUAUUGUGAAAGGGGUUGAGUUCUUGAUUUGAUUCUCAGCUUGAUCACUGUUGGUGUAUAGCAGAGCUACUGAUUUGUGGACAUUAAUUUUGUAUCCUGAAACUUCUGAAUUUAUUUACCAGUUCUGGGAGCUUUUUGGAUGAGUCUUUAGAGUUUUCUAGCUAUACAAUCAUAUCAACAGCAAACAGUGAGAGUUUGACUUCCUCUUCACCAAUUUUGAUGCCCUUUAUUUUUUUCUCUUGUCUGAUUGUUUCGGCUAGGACUUCCAGUACUAUGUUGAAUAGAAGUGGUGAAUGUGGGCAUCCUCGUCUCAUUCCAGUUCUCAGAGGGAAUGCUUUCAACUUUUCCCCAUUUAGUAUAAUGUUGGCUGUGAGUUUUCUGUAGAUGACUUUUAUAACCUUAAAGUAUAUCCCUUGUAUGCCGAUUUUGCUGAGGGUUUUAAUCAUAAAAGGAUACUGGAUUUUGUCAGAUUCUUUUUCUGCAUCUAUUGAGAUGAUCAUGUGAUUUUUGUUUUUAAUUCUGUUUAUGUGGUGUAUGACAUUUAUUGGCUUGCAUAUGUUAAACCAUCCCUGCAUCCCUGAUAUGAAACCCAUUUGAUCAUGAUGGAUUAUCUUUUUGGUAUGCUGUUGGAUUCGGUUAGCUAGUAUUUUGUUAAGGAUUUUUGCAUUUAUGUUCAUCAGGGAUAUUGGUCUGUAGUUUUCUUUUUUUGUUAUGUCUUUCCCUGUUUUGGUAUUAGGGUGAUACUGCCUUCAUAGAAUGAUUUAGGGAGGAUUCCCUCUUCCUCUAUCUUGUGGAAUAGUGUCAGUAGGAUUGGUCCAAUUCUUCUUUGAAUGUCAAUAGAAUUCAGCUGUGAAUCCAUCUGGUCCUGGACAUUUUUUAUUGGCAACUUUAAAAUUACCAUUUCAAUCUUGCUGCUUGUUAUUGGUCUGUUCAGAGAUACUAUAUUUUUCUGGUUUAAUCUAGGAGGGUCGUGUAUUUCCAGGAAUUCAUCCAUCUCCUCUAGGUUUUCUAGUUUAUGUGUGUAAAGGUGUUCAUAGUAGCCUUGAAUACUCUUUUGUAUUUCUGUGAUAUCAGUUAUAAUAUCUCCGAAUUGAGCUUAUUUGAAGCUUCUCCCUUCUUUUCUUGAUUAAUCUUGCGAAUGAUCUAUCAAUUUUAUUUAUCUUUUCAAAGAAGCAGCUUUGCGUUUCAUUCUUUUUUGCAUUUUUUUUGGUUUUAAUUUAAUUUUGUUCUGCUCUGAUCUUUGUUAUUUCUUUUCUUCUGCUGGGGUUGGGCUUGGAUUGUUCUUGUUUCUGCAGUUCCUUGAGGUGUGACCUUAGAUUGUCUAUUUGUGCUCUUUCAAACUUUUUGAUGGACUUUUUGAACUUUCCUCUUAGCAAUACUUUUGCUGUAUACCAGAGGUUUUGAUAGGUUGUGUCACUAUUAUCGUUCAGUUCAAAGAAUUUUUAAAUUUCCAUCUUGAUUUCAUUUUUGACCAAAAGUUUAUUCAGGAAAAGGUUAUUUAAUUUCCACAUAUUUGCAUGGUUUUGAGAGUUUCUUUUGGAGUUGAUUUCCAAUUUUAUUUUACUGUGGUCUGAGAGAGUACUUGAUAUAAUUUCAAUUUUCUUAAAUUUACUGAGACUUGUUUUGUGGCUUAUCAUAUGUUCUGUCUUGAAGAAUGUUCCAUGUGCUGAUGAAUAGAAUGCAUAUUCUGCGGUUAUUGGGUAGAACAUUCUGUAAAUAUCUGUUAAGUCCAUUUGUUGUAGGGCAUAGUUUCUUUGUUGUUUCUUUGUUGACUUUCUGUCUCGAUGACCUGUCUAGUGUUGUCAGUGGAGCAUUAAAGUCCCCCACUAUUAUUGUGUUGCCAUUUAUCACAUUUCUUAGGUCUAGUCGUAAUUGUUUUAUAAAUUUGGGAGCUCCAGUGUUACGUGCAUAUAUAUUUAGAAUUGUGAUAUUUUUCCUGUUGGACUAGUCCUUUUAUCAUUAUAUAAUGUCCCUCUUUGUCUUUUUAAACUACUGUUGCUUUAAAGUUUGAUUUUUCUGAUAUAAGAAUAGCUACUCCUGCUUUCUUUUGGUGUCUAUUUGCAUGGAGUAUCCUUUUUCAUCCCUUUACCUUAAGUUUAUGUGAGUCCUUAUGAGUUAGGUGUCUCCUGAAGACAGCAGAAACUUGGUUGGUGAAUUUUUAUCUAUUCUGCCAUUCUGUAUAUUUUAAGUGGAGCAUUUAGGCCAUUUACAUUCAAUGUUAGUAUUCUAUUCAUCAUGCUAUUUGUUGACUAAAUAUCUUGUUUUUUUUUAUUGUGUUAUUGUUAUAUAGGUACUGUGAUAUUUAUGCUCUAAGGAGGUCCUAUUUUGGUAUAUUUUGAGAAUUUGUUUCAAGAUUUAGAGCCACUUUUAACAGUUCUUGUAGUGCUGGCUUGGUAGUGGCAAAUUUGUUCAGCAUUUGUUUGUCUGGAAAAGACUAUAUCUUUCCUUCAUUUAUGAAGCUUAGUUUUGCUGGAUACAAAAUUCUUGGCUGAUAAUUGGUUGGUUUAAGGAAGCAAAAAUAGGACCCCAGUCCUUUCUAGCUUGUAGGGUUUCUGCUGAGAAAUCUGCUGUUAAUCUGAUAGGUUUUCCUUUAUAGGUUACCUCUUGCUUUUGCCUCACAGCUCUUCAGAUCCUUUCCUUUGUCUUGACUUUAGGUAACCUGAUGGCUAUGUGUCUAGGCAAUGAUCUUUUUGUGAUGAAUUUCCCAGGUGUUCUUUGAGCCUCUUGUAUUUGGAUGUCUAGGUCUCUAACAAGGUCAGGAAAGUUUUCCUCGAUUAUUCCCUCAAAUAUGUUUUCCACACUUUUAGAUUUCUCUUCUUCCUUGGGGACACCAAUUAUUCUUAGGUUUGGACGUUUAACAUAGCCCCAAGCUUCUUGGAGGCUUUGUUCAUUUUUUAAAAUUCUUUUUUUCUUUGUGUUCGAUAGAUUGGGUUAAUUCAAAAGUCUUGUCUUUAAGCUAUGAAGUUCUUUCCUCUGCUUGUUUGAUUCUAUUGCUGAGAUUUUCCAGUGUGUUUGGCAUUUCUCUAAGUGUGUCCUUGAUUUCCAAAAGUUGUGAUUGUUUUUUAUUUAUGCAUCCAUUUCACUGAAGAACUUACCUUUCAUAUCCUGUAUUACAGUUUUGACUUUUUUAAGUUGGACUUCAUCUUUCUCUGGUACCUCCUUGAUUAGCUUAAUAAUCGACCUUCUGAAUUCUUUUUCUGACAGUUCAGUGAUUUUGCUUGGUUUGAAUCCGUUGCUGGUGAGCUGGUAUAAUCUUUUGGGGGAGUUAAAGGACACUUUUUAUUUAUUAUUAUUUAUCUUAGAAACUGUGACUUUAUUUUUAUUUAUCUUUUAUUUUAGGUUCAGGGGUACAUGUACAGGUGGUUUGUUACAUAGGUAGACCUGUGUCAUGCAGUUUUGUUGUGCAGACUAUUUCAUCACCCACAUAUUAAGCCUAGUACCUAUUAGUUAUUUUUCCUGAUUCUCUUCCUCCAACCAACCUCCACCCUCUGAUAGGCGUCAGUGUGUGUUGUUCCCCUCUAUGUUUCCAUGUGUUCUCAACUUUUAGCUCCCACUUAUAAGUGAGAACAUGCUGUAUUUGGGUUUCUGUCCCUGUGUUAAUUUGCUAAGGAUAAUGGCCUCCAGUGCCAUCCAUGUUCCUGCAAAGGAAGUGAUCUUGUUCUUUUUCAUGGCUGUGUAGUAUUCCAUGGUGUAUAUGUACCACAUUUUCUUUAUCUAGUCUACCAUUUCUGGGCAUUUAGGUUGAUUCCAUGUCUUUCCUAUUGUGAAUAGUGCUGCAAUGAACAUAUGCGUGCAUGUGUCUUUAUAAUAGAAUGAUUUAUAUUGCUUUGGGCAUAUACCCAGUAAUGAGGUUGCUGGGUUAAAUGAUAUUUCUGUUUUUAUGGCUUUGAGGAAUCAUCACACUGUUUUCCACAAUGGUUGAACUAAUUUAUACUCCCUCCAACAGUGCAUAAGCCUUUCUUUUUCUUUGCAACCUCGCUAGCAUCUGUUAUUAUUAUUAUUUUUUGACUUUUUAGUAAUAGCCACUCUGACUGGUGUGAGGUGGUAUCCCAUUGUGGUUUUGACAAACUCUCCACUUUAAAAAAAUAGAAAUACCAAUCUUUUCAUGAUAAAAAAUGAACUCCUAUGUGUUUUUUUUUUUUUUUUUACCCUGUAAACCUAUCUCAGGAAAUGUCAGCUCUUUCCUUUCAAUUAUUCCAACCCCAAACCUUGAGCUUGUCCUCUUCUCUCUCCCAAACUAUAUACAAUCAAUCAUAAAAUAUUAUCAGUUUUAUCUUCAGUGGAGAGAAGGUUUUCUGGCCUUACCUGGGGCCUUCUCUCCAGAGCACACAUUAUUAGCAGUGAUCUGCUAAUUUUAGCAUCUUUUGCGGUUGGAUAGGCUGAGAAUUUCUCAAAUCAUCUAGUCCUGGCUCUUUUUGCUUAAUGAUUCUUUCUUCAUUUCUCUCUUUCUUCUAGCGUCUUAGUGUAAGCAGCAAGAAGAAACCAGCCUGCAUCUUCAAUACUUCACUUAGAAAUCUCCUGAGUUGAAUACCCAAGUUUACCACUUUUAGUUCUGCUUUCCACACAAUGGUAGGUCACAAUUCAGUGAAGCUCCCUGUCACUAUAUAACAAAGAUCACUUUUCUUCUAAUUUCUAAUAACACUUUUCUCAUAUUCUUCUGAGCCCUCUGAGCAGCAUCUUUACUGUUCAUAUUUCUACUAAUCUUCUGUUUCUGGCAAUAUACGCAUUCUCCAAGACAGUGGUCUCCAACCUUUUUGACACCAGGGACUGGUUUUAUAGAAGACAGUUUUUUUCCCAUGGAAUAGGGGUUGUGGAUUGUUUUGGGAUGAAACUGUUCCACCUCAGAUUACCAGGCAUUAUUUAGAUCCUCAGAAGGAGCACACGACCUAGAUCCCUUGCAUGCACAGUUCACAAUAUGGUUUGCGCUCCUGUGAGAAUCUAAUGCUGACGCUGAUGUGACAGGAGGCAGAGCUCAGGGAGUAAUGCUGGCUCACCCGCUGCUUACCUCCCGCUAUGUGCCCUGAUUCCUAACAGGCCACUGGCUGGUACCGGUCUGCAGCCUGGAGGUGGGGGACCCCUGCUCUAAGAUGACAGAGGAUCUCUCUACUGUGCUUCUCACUUCUUUCUGAGUUUUCACCCGUUGUGCCUUUAAUAUUUCUACUAUUUUUCUACUAAUAUUGCUACUAAUUAGUAGAAAUAUAGAAAUAUAUUUUAUAGAAAUAUAGAAAUAUAGAAUAUUUCUACUAAUAGUCUGUUUAAAGCAACCUAUCUAUCAUGUGCCUCAAAAAUGCUUCCAGGCUCUGUCCAUCACCAAAUUCCAAAGCCACUUUCACAUUUUUAGGUAUUUGAUACUGCAGCACACUGCUUCCUGGUACCAAAAUCUGCAUUUGUUUCUGGUGGCUGCUGUAACAAGUGACCACAAACGUGGUGACUGAAAACAUUAGAAAUUUAUUCUGUUACAUUUCUGGAGCCCAGAGUCUGAAAUCAGUAUCCUGGGUCAAAAUCAAGGUGUCAACAAUGCUGCACUCAUCCUGGAGUUCCUAGGGGACCUAGGAAUAAUUUCCUUGUCUCUUCCAGCUUCUAGUGGAUACUGGUAUUCCUUGGCUUCUGGUUGCAUCCCUCCAGUCCUUAAGGCCAGGAUCUCCAAAUAUCUCUCUACUCCAUCUUAACAUCACCUCUUCUCUGUGUAAAAUCUCCCUCUGCUUUCCUGUAAUAAGGAUACACGUGAUUGCAUUUAGAGCUCACCUGGAUAAUCCAGGCUCAUUUCCCCAUCUCAAGAUCCUUAACUUGGUCACACAGGAAAAGACCCCUUUUUAGCCACCUAAGACAACAUUCACAGAUUUCAGGAGUUAAUGCCUGGAUAUCUUUUGAAGGUGCAUUAUUUAGCCUACUACAACUUGAACACCCCUUCAAGACCUGGACUGUGCCUCUGGAUGCAACAAUCAUAGUAUAACCAGGAAACAGAAACUACCUAUGUAUUUAAAACCCUGAGACCUCACUCCAUUUAUCUCCGUGAUUGUCCUAUUUUCUGCGCGGCACCACACAAAGCUGUCACAACUUGUCUUCUAGAUGCCACACUCAUGAUUUUCUAUUAAUCUCAAAUGCAUUAUUUGGGAAACUCCAAUCAUUUCGUGAGUGAGCACAGCAUUGCGGAGUCGGGUUGUGUCAGCAGCAUAUAACUGGCAUUUAAAAUGCACUAAAGCAAAAGUCAGGAGACUGGGUUUAAGUCUUGCAUGUUACUUUGAAGAACUUGAGACCUAUGGCCAGUGACUUGGCCUUUCUCACUCUUAGUUAAUUCAUCUGCAAAAUGAAUAUUAAUGCUUAUGGAGAUUAAAGUGAAGUGACAUAUGAGAAAGGCUUUGCUAACUUAAACUUUUAGUGAAAUAACAAAUACGAUGAAAAUAACAUGAAUCUUGACCAAGAUGGUCUUAAUGAGAGAGAUUUAUUUCUUUUUCUAGGCCCCUGACCUCGCUUUUCCUAGAGCAUUUAAUUUAGAAAACUUGCAAUCAAUUCUUCAUCUACCUCUUUGAGAUGUAAAUCUUCUCCCAGCCUCUUGCCAGUUUUACAAUCAAGGAUUGUUUUUCUUAAGGACCUGGGAGCCAUUCGUCUGAAAUGUAAUCAUCAAGGAAGAUAGUACCCUUAUCUUCCAGUCUCUGUGGGGUGGGGGGAGGGUAGGAGCCUAACUUCAGUGAGAGUCUUGCUCCAGGUUGUAAAACUACCUCUUGUCAUGAAGAUAACAGAAAGUUUACUUUUUCUUUGGGUAAGAGGCAGAUGGCCUUAUGAUAUCCCCCAUCUCAGCUUUUAAAGACUCUCCAUGUAUUGUUUCAGUGUAGUUGAGUUAAUACUGAUCUCUCUUUACCAUUACAAUAGCCUUAAAUAAAAUCUUCCUUACUUGUUUAACUUAGUCUGAUGCAAUUUUGCUUUGAUAAUGGUUUCACAUAAUAACCACCACACUUUAAUCCUUUCUGUCAAGACUCUCCAGUAUGAAUGUAGAAGUGAUAUUACUUUCAGAGAAAAUUAUUGAAUACUUUUUCAUUUUCAAUCCUCCAAAUUUAUGUCAUGUUUAUGCUUUGAAGAGCAUGAGAGAACUUGACUCUUGAUCCCCUCCUUGCUGGAUAUGUCCUUUUUCAUCAUCUCAUUUUUAUGACUCCCCUGUGCAAUACCCUAGUUAUGCUUAUUUUUCCUUAUUUACAGCUGUUAAAUGAUAAUUUUCAAAAAAAAAAAAAAAAAAAAAAGGGAAAAUCAUGACUCCCAUACAGGUAUAAGAUAGUUGUUAAAGCUUUUAUUUAACUCUUUAAUUAAUGAGGGAACUAAGUAGAUGUUUAAUAGGUUCAAAAGAGAAUCCUAGCUUCUCCACAGAAGGGAGGAAAGUCAAUUGACUCUUAGCAGAAUUUCUACAGGCAAUAAUUAUUUUGCAUCACUAUCAGUUAUCUACAGCUUACAGAGAUGUAAAAUAGCUUCCAUAGUAUCAUAAUUCUGCUUAUGUGUAGACAAUGUAUAGUUUUCCUUUGAAGGACAAAUUUUCCCUUACACAGCAUUAAUUCAUUUUCUUUUUUACAAUAUGAUGCAGAGUUGCAAGAUGAAAGUGCUGGAGAACUACUGAAAUUCCUUGGAGUUAGGAUUUGGGUAACUGUUUUAUUUAUAUAUAUUUUUAAAAAACGGAAACAAGUUGAAAGUACUUUAAUAGAAGUCAGCCAACGAACCUGAGGAAGGAUUUAAUGAAAGUACUGUUAUGUUAAAGGACAAUGAGGUUCAGAAUCUCAAGAUGGAAAUAACUUCAUUUUUAGUGCUACUGAUGUGUAGGGAGGGAGAAAAUGUCAAUUUGGUCAGAGUGCACAAGAUUUUUUAAUAUUUGAAAUAGAGUUGGCCUGUUGGAUAUAACCCUUGAGCCCUCUGAACCUCUGAAGAAUGGUUCUUUUAACAGCUACUUAGGACCGAGAUAACGGAGCCAGGCAGCUCUGGGAUGAAGCUGCAAGAGCUUGGGCAGGAGGCAGGCUCAAAAGGGACAUUCAUGGGUAUGGGAUGAAAGGGUAUUACACUGUCUAGUGGUUCAUUCUGACCUUAAAAGUCCUCAAUGCCAAGUUUCAUCAGUGCUGAGUGAUCUUUGCUCUCAGUUUAGUGUGCAAUAUCAUGUAGCAUAAAGUAGUUAUUGUUAAGUGUCCUCACAUUUUAGGGACAAUAGGAACAACAUGCAAAUUAACCAUGGGUAGUAUUCUUGGCCAUAUACAAUUAUGGGUAUUUAAAAUUUUUAGAUGCUAAUUAAGCCCGAAGUUCUUUGUGAAUAGUGCCAAUUUGCCUCCAAAUAACAUGUUACAGAGAUAGAAUAAUUCACCAUAAGUGCCUGCACCAGCAACAGUGGCUGGCACAUAUAUAGAUGCUAUUCAAUAAAUCUGCUUGGUAUUGACUGAUUGGAAAAGCAUCCAAGAAGAGUUUCCAUUUUUCUCUGAUAAAACACACUUGAUGUUCAGUUGUUGACAAAGAAGUGGCUGACUUCAAACAGUGGUGAUGUGACUUGGUGGUACUGUCAUGCACACUAACUCAACCUUACUUUUUCUUAGAGUUCCUAUUAUGUUACGUAAUCUUUAUGUCCUCUGUUCAUCUUUGGGGAACCAAACUAUAGGAUUCAGGAACACGAUGGCAGUGUAAAUGCAAAUAAAUGUGCACAUUUAAUGAAAAAACUCUAGCUUGGGAAACUUUCUUGCACUUUGUGGUUGGAGAGUUAUCUACAAUGUCAUCAUCCCCAGACAUGUUUGUAAUCAUAGGUAUAAUGCGUCUUGAUUUCCAAGUAAUAGGCCUAUUGAACUGAACAAUAUGGGAACAGAACACACUGACCUCUCUGAUGACAGAAACUAUUAACUACUGUCCUUAUAAAUCACGGGGCCUCCAGGGUGGUGCUUUCAGAGGUGACACAGCACCUCUUGCAGCUCUUCCUCCUCCUACUCUUCCUCCUUCUUUUGAAGGCAAGUAGCUGAAUAGGAGAAAACACAAUAUAAAAUACUAAAAAAACCCAGCUAAUAUAAUGUGAAAUAUUGAAAGAUAAUAUUUUUUUGAAGAUGCAAGUGAUUAUCUAUCUAAUUUGAACCAAAGAGAAUAAAUAAAUCCUUUAGAAAAUAGGAACAAAUUAGGACACAUUUUUUUUUAGCCUUUCAAAGUCACUUCAGGAAAGAUUUCAAAGGUCUUUUUGUAACUUUUGCUUUUAAUUAUAGAAAUAAUAAAUGUCCAUUUUAAUAGAAAAUAAAAGUAAAUUAUGUAAAAGAAAACUAAAGUUUUCACCUAGAGAAGAACAAUGAGCAUAAUUCGAUAUAUAAUCUUGCACUGCUUUCAUGAGACAUUUACAUAUUUAUAAUUAUAAAUAUUUAUAUAUGAUGUGUAGUAAUUUUAUACUUUUUUCUGUUGACUCAUUUAAAAAUAUUUUUGUAGCCUUUUUUCAUUUAGUAUAUUGAUGUCUUAUGAUGUCAUGAAAAAAAUCUUCCAUUAUUAUUGUUUUAGAAGUACAGUUUGCUUCUAAAUAAAUUAUACAUGCACAUGUGGAAUAUAUGUAAAUACAGAAUAGAUAUGUAUUUAAUAGGGAUACACACAUAUAUGUGUGUGUGUAUAUAUAUAUCUUGCUGUUGCUUUUUAUAUUAUAGAUCUCCUUCUAUUAUUACAUUUAGUUUUAUGUAGAUACAUUCUAUUAAGAGUAAAUAUUACACAGAUAGAAUGAAGACACUUUAUUUAUAAUUCUUCAAUAUAUAGAAUUCGUUUUUACUUAUUCAAAUAUGUAAUCCUUUUCUACAUAAUCAUAUGCAUGUUUACUUUCAUAGAGCAUGCAUACUACUUUAUUCUCAAGCAACCAGAAGUCCUUGAAUGUUUUCUGAAUAAUCUAUUGGCCUAUUGUCAUCUCAGAAUAAACCAGUAAUAUUUCUCCCAUAUAUUCUAUUAUUUUCAAUUUUUGUUAAUCAUACUCUAGCCCAUUUGGAACUUACCAUUUAUCUGUUAUUUAAGAAUUACAUUUAUUGCAUUAUUUUUCUCAAUCUUUUAUGUGCUUGAUAUGGAGCUCAGAUAAUGUAUCUCUCAGUAGUUUCUGCUAGAAAGUAUAAGAGGAUGACAGCAAGGGAGUUGAUGUAUUUAUUUCAGGACCUUUAGGAAAGGUAGAAAACACAACAAUCUGAACUCUAGUUACUAAACCCAACUCCAUUCUUCCUGACAGAAAGCCCCUGUACGCAGAAAGAAAUGUAUCUGAUGAAUUGUAGCUGAGCAGAAAUGAGACUUGUGUAUAACAACUAUCUGAGGCAGCUCUUAAUUAGCCUUUCCUGUUAACAAGUGGUAAGAUGAGGCCAGGCACCUGGCACAUCCCAGAAAUUUGGGAGGCCAAGGUGGGGGGAUUGCUUGAGCCCAGGAGUUCGAGGCCAGCCUAGGCAACAUAGUGAAACCCCCAUCUCUACAAAAAAUGGGAAAAAUUAGCCGGCAUGUUGGCACGUGCCUAUAGCCCCAGCUUCUCAGAAAGCUGAGGUGGGAGGAUCACUUGAGCCUGGGAGGUUGAGGCUGCAGUGAGCUGUGAUCAUGCCGCCUGCACUCCAGCCUGGGCAACAGAGCGAGACCUUGUCUGAAGAAAAUAUAACAAAUAAAGAAAAAAAAUAGUAAGAUGAGACAUCUAGCUGUUGAGAAGUCUCUAGACCAUUUUAAUAUCUUCAUUCCUAUAUCCAAUGACCCAUUCUAAAUACAGGCUUGCCUUAUAUUACAGGUGAGUUAAAAAAGAAACAGAGAUGCUUACAGCUUUUACUUCAAAUAGGUUAUCAUAAAAUCCUAUAGGAUCCAGUUUCCUGAAAAUCUGUAAGGAACAACAUUUAAAUUCAUGGAGUUCAUCUCUUUAUUCCAUACUUCUGAGCUUGAGGAGCCAUUAGUCUUGUUUCGGAAAUUAAAGAAUAUUUCCCUGUUUCAAAGCUGUUGUAGAAACUGCUUUCCUAUAUUCUACAUCUUACGCAAAUCCAGAAUGAGAUUCAGAUAAGAUUCAGAUAGCAUGUUCAGGGUCUCUCUGCUUUUUAUAUUAAAACUCUAGAAGUUUCUGCUUUCUUGUUGAAAGCAGCACUCUUGAAUGGCAGACCUCAUGUUGGUAAAUGAUAGAUGCCUUCAAAGACUUACUUGACACAUUUGAUGGGGAAAUCAUAUAAGCCCUUUGGUAGAGAAAGGGGGAAAGUCAUUCUAGCAGGAGAAUGAUGGCCAUUUUUAUCAAGGGGUUUUAUGUUUGAUCUCUGCAUGUAUCUGCUUGUAUCUAAAGAAAAGAAAGUGUAUGAAAAGAAAGGUAGAAAAGCAAAGGUCCCAGGAUUGCAGAUAGACUUCCUUAAUUAUUAGUAAACUAAUUUUUACUGACAAUCAGAAUAACGCUAGAAUAAAGAAGUUAACCCCCAGGUGAGACACAUACCUCUUUCUGGGAUAAGCUUUGUGUGCAUCUGAGCCAUAAAUUAACUCUGUGGUGUCCACAGUUGAAGAAUGAAGCUCUUUUCCCCUUAGAGUUAGUAAUAGUGAGGGUAUAUUUGAAAACAGAUUUUGACCUGACAUGUUUUAUAUUCUAAGGGCACUAUGAUCUAGGACAGACACCUAAAUCCUAUAUCUAAGCACUAUUAUGGGUGGGUUUUUCCUUUAAAUUGUUAAUUAACUUGAGCAUCAAAACGUCUCAUGCUGAAGAUUACAGAGAGAAUUUUUAUUGCCCUGGUAUAAAAAGAUUAACUGCCACUGAUUGCUUUCCUUUUUGCAUGUCAUGAGAGAAACAUAGAUAUUUAUGCAGAGGAAGGUAUAAUCAGCUGUGGGUGGAGGCAGACACAACCAUUCCCCAAUUAACUUCAUGGACAUUAAUCAGCAGAGAACAUCUGAGGGAGUGUGAAGACAAAUGCUUGAAAUGGAAUUGUGUACACAUAAGUGAAUAUACAAAUUAUGCCAUUGUGUCUGAUCACUUUUAUGUGACUCUAAUUAGGAUGCCAGCCACACUAAAAUCCUUUCCUGUGUACUUUGUGUCUGAUGUCUUUCAAGCAGCAUUGUGAUUUGGCUUAUCCAUAUUUUUGGAUAUAGUUGCAUUCUCAUUUAUGUAUGAAUUUCCAUUGUAUGAAUUUAACAUAUACUACAAAUUACUUAUUUUACUGUUGAUGGGAUUUUAGGUAAUCUAUUAGUUUUUGGCUCUUACAAAAAUUUAUGCCUUGAAUAUUCUAGACAGUGGAUGGCAAUCUGUGGUUUAGGGCCUGUUACUGUACAGCUGGUGACCAAAGAUUUUUUUAAAUUUUUAUUUUAAAGAAUUUCUGAGAACAUAAAGAAGAUCCUGUGACAGAGGCUAUAGGUAAACUUCAAAAUCUAACAGAUUUAAUAUCUAAUUCUUCACAAAAAUUUGCUUAUUAUGUUUUAGAUCAUGACUUUCCUAAGGACCUUUUACUUAUUUAUACUGCUUGGGAUUCAAAGAGCUUCUUGAAACUGUGGGUUGACUUCUUUCACAAGUAUUGUAAAUUCUCAGCUACUAUCUUUAAAAUAUUGCCAUGCCCCAUUCUUUAUCACUUCAGGUUUUGGUAAUCUAAUUAUACAUAUUUAUACUUUUUGAGUAUGGCCCAUAUGUAUCUUACAUUAUUUCCUUCAUUUUUCCACUGAGUGCUUUAGUUGAAUACUUUCUUUUGACCUAUCUUCCAGUACAGGCAUAGAGAGUGUGAAGAUAAAUGCUUGAAAUGGAAUUGUGAACACAUCAGUGAAUAUACAAAUUAUGCCAUUGUGUCUGAUCACUUUUAUGUGACUCUAAUUACGAUGCCACCCACACUAAAAUCCUUUCCUGUGUACCUUGUGUCUGAUGUCUUUCAGACAUCCUUUCAGAUGUCAGAGAUAUCAGAGUUAUUGUGGGUUUGGUUUCAGAGCACCACAAUAAAGUAAAUAUUGCAAUAAUAUAAGUCACAUGAAUUUUUUGGUUUCCCAGUGCAUAUAAAAGCUAUGUUUACACUUUACUGUAUUCUAUUAAGCUUGCAAUAGCAUCAUCUCUAAAAAAUGUAAACAUCUUAACUAAAAAAAACUUUAUUAUGAAAAAAUGCUAAUGAUCACCUAACCCUUCAGCAAGUUGUAAUGUUUUUGUUGGUGGAAAGGCUUUCCUCAAUAUUGAUGGGUGCUGACUGAUCGGGGUGGUUGUUGCUGAAGGUUGAAGUGGCUCUGGAGAUUUCUUAAAAUAAGACAACAAUGAAGUUUGCCGUAUCCAUGGAUUCUUCCUUUCAUGAAAGAGUUCUCUCUAGCAUGCGAUGCUGUUGGAUAGCUUUUUACCCACUGCACAAUUUCUUCCAAAAUUAGAGUCAGUCUUCUCAAACCCUGUUGCUGCUUUGUCAACUAAGUGUAUGUAAUAUUCUAAAUCCUUUGCUGUCAUUUCAACAUCUUGCGUGAAGGUGCUGUGAAGGUGCACAGCAUCUUCACCAGGAGUAGAUUCCAUCUCAAGAAGUCACUUUCUUGGCGCACUCAUAAGAAGCAACUCCUUAUGCAAUUCAGUCACAUCUUCAGGCUCCAAUUCUAAUUCCAGUUUUUUUAUUAUUUCCACCACAUUUGCAGUUCCUUCCUCCACUGAUGUCUUGAACCCCUCAAAAUCAUUCAUGAGGAUUGGAAUCAACUUCUUCCAAACUCCUGUUAAUGUUGAUAUUUUGACCUCUUCCCAUGAAUCACAAACGUUCUUAAUGACGUAUAGAAUGAUGACUCCUUUCCAGAAGGUUUUCAAUUUACUUUGUCCAGAUCCAUCAGAAUAAUCACUAGUGAUGGCAGCUAUAGCCUUACAAAAUGUAUUGCUUAAAUAAUAAGACUUGAAAGUAAAAAUUACUCCUUAAUCCAUGGGCUGCAGAAUGGAUGUCACGUUGGCAGGCACGAAAACAACAUUAAUCUUCUUCUACAUCUCCAUCAGAGCUCGUGGGUGACUGAGUGCAUUGUUAAUGAGCAGUAACAUUUGGAAAGGAAUCCUUUUUCCUGAGCAGUAGAUCUUAAUAGUGGGCUUAAAAUAUUCAGUAAACCAUGCAAUAAACAGAUGUGCUGUCAUCUAUGCUUUGUUGUUCCAUUUAGAAGGAACAGCAGAGUAGAUUUAGCACAAUUAUUAAGGGCCCUAGGAUUUUCAGAAUGGUAAAUGAGCAUUGGCUUUAACUUAAAGUCAGCAGGUGCAUUAGUCUCUAACAAGAGUCAGCCUGUGCUUGUGAAGCUUUGAAACCGGGCAUUGACUUCUCCUUUCUAGCUAUGAAGUCCUAGAUGGUAUCUUCUUCCAAUAUAAGGCUGUUUUAUUUAUGCUAAAAAUCUGUUUAGUGUAGCUACCUUCAUCAAUGAUCUUAGCUAGAUCUUCUGAUAACUUGCUGCAGCUUCUGCAUCAGCACUUGCUGCUUCACCUUGCACUUCCAUGUUAUGGAGAUGGUGUUUUUCUAAGGAAAGAACCUCAUGAACAGCCUCUGCUAACUUCAAACUUUUCUGCUGCAGCUUCCUCCCAUCUCUCAGCCUUCACAGAAUUGAGAGUUAGGGCCUUGCUCUGAAUCAGGCUUUGGCUUAAAGAAUUGCUGUGGCUGGUUUCAUCUUCUCUCCAGACCAUGGAAACUUUCUCCACGACAGCAAUAAGGCUAUUUUGCUUUCUUAUCCUUUGUGUAUUCACUGGAGUAACAUUUUUAAUUUCCUUCAAGAGCUUUUCCUUUGCAUUUACACCUUGGAUGUCUGGUACAAGAGGUCUGGCUUUCAGUCCAUGUUGGCUUUUGACAUGCCUUCCUCACUAAGCUUAAUGACUUCUCAUUUUCGAUUUGAAGGAAGGGAUGUGUGUCUCUUCCUUUCACUUGAACACUUAGAGGCCAUUGUCAGGUUAUUAAUUGGCCUAAUUUCAAUAUUGUUGUGUCUCAGGAGUAGGGAGGUCCAAGGAGAGGUAGAAAAAUGGGGGAAUGGUUGGUCAGUGGAGCAGUCAGAAUACACAACUAAUAUUUAUCAGUGAAGUUUGCUAUCUUAUAUGGAUGCAGUUCGAGGUGCCCUAAAACAGUUACCAUAGUAACAUCAAAGAUCACUGAUCACAGAUCACCAUAACCGAUAUAAUAAUAAUGAAAAUGUUUGAAAUAUUGGGAGAAUUACCAAAAUGUGACUCAGAGAUGUGAGGUGAGCAUGUUGUAGAAAAAUUGUGCCAAUAAUGCAGGGUUGUUACAAACCUUCAAUCUGUAAAAACUGCAGUAUCUGUGAAGGGCAAUAAAGUGACAUGUGUUAAAAAGAGAUAUGCCUUUUAUAAUCUUAUAUCACUUGAAUUUGUUAAAUACAAACUUUUAAAACAUCUAUUGUGAUCUUAAUUUCGGAUUUUUUUUUUUAGUUUUAAAACACGCCAGUGAUUACUUUUAUAGAUUUUAGCUUCUUAUUUUUAAACACAUUUCUUCCAUCUUUUUUCUAUUACUUUGAAUAUACUAUGAAUAGUUAUUUUAAAGUUAUUGUUUAAAAAAUCCAAUAUCUGGAUGAUAGCUGAGUCUUUUUUUUUUUUGGUUUUGAUCAUUUUGUCCCUCUUGUCAUUCCUGCUAAUUAUUAUUAUUAUUAUUUUUAAGACGGAGUUUCACUCUUUGUUGCCCAGGCUGGAGUGCAGUGGUGUGAUCUCAGCUCACUGCAACCUCCGCCUCCUGAGUUCAAGUGAUUCUCCUGUCUCAGCCUCCUGAGUAGCUGGAAUUACAGGCACCCACCACCACAGCCAGCUAAUUUUUGUUUUUUUUUUUAGUAGAGAUGGGGCUUCACUAUGUUGGCCAGGCUGGUCUCGAACUCCUGACCUUGGGUUAUCCACCCGCCUUGGCCUCCCAAAGUGCUGGGAUUACAGGCGUGAGCCACCACACCCCGCCAUCCUGUUAAUUUUUUAAAUUAAACUUUUAAUUUUGAGAUAAUUAUAGAUUUACAUGCAAUUGUAAGAAAUAAUACAGAGGGGUCUCAUGUACUGUUUAUGCAUUUUUCCCCGGCGGUGACACCUUGAAAACCUGUAGCACAAUAUCACAACCCUGAUAAGGAUUUUGAUACAGGUGAACUACAGAACAUUUCCAUCACAAUAUUGCCCCUCAUGUUGCCUUUUUAUAGCUACAUCUGCUUCCAUCUCAUCCUCACCCUUUUCUUAACCUCUGGGAAGCACUAAUCUCUUCUCCAUUUCUACACUUUGUCAUUUUAAGAGUUUUAUGUAAAUGCAAUCAUACACUAUGCAACCCUUUGGAAUUGGCUUAUUUUCACUCAGCUAAUUCUUUGGAGAUUAAUCCUGGUUGUGGCAUCUAUCAAUGUUCUUUCCUUCUAAUUGCUGAGUAGUAUUGCUUGGUAUAUAUGUACCACAGUUAUUUUAAGCAUUUACCUAUUGAACGACACCCGGAUUGUUUCUAAUUUUUGGCUAUUAGUAAUUAGGCUGCUAUAAACAUCCAUGUACUGGUUUCUGAGUGGACAUAAGUUUUUUUUUCUUUUUUAGAAGGAGCCUUGGUCUUUUGCCCAGGCUGGAGUGCAGUGGUGUGACCCUGGCUCACUGCAACCUCCAUCUCCCGGGUUUAAGUGAUUCUCCUGCCUCAGCCUCCCCAGUAACUAGGAUUACAGGCAUUUGCCACCAUGCCCAGCUAAUUUUUUAUAUUUUUAGGUAGAGACAAGGCUUUGCCAUGUUGGCCAGGCUGGUCUUGAACUCCUGAGCUCAAGUGAUCCACCUGCCUCGGCCUCCCAAAGUGCUGAGGCUGAGUGCUCAUAUAGGCAUGAGCCAUCAUGCCUGGCCAUGAGUGGACAUAAAUUUUUAUUUCUCUGGAAUAAAUGCCCCCAAAACCAAGACUGGUCAUAAAGCAGCUGUAUGUUUAGUUCUUUAAAGAAACUGCCGAGCCAGGGAAGGCUGGACAUGGUUGCUUAUGCCUGUAAUUCCAGCACUUUGGGAGGCCCAGGUGGUCGUAUCGCUGGAGCCCAGAAGUUUGAGACUAGCCUGUGCAACAUAGUGAAACACUGUCUCUACAAAAAAUUAUAAUAAAAAAAUUAUCCAGGAGUACUGGCGCUCACCCUGUGCUCCCAGCUACUUGGGAGGCUGAAGUGGGAGGAUCUCCUGAGCAAGGGAGGUCGAGGCUGUAGUGAGCUGACAUCCUGCCACUGCACUGCAGCCAGCACUCCUGCCACUCCAUUCCACUCCAGUGACAGAGUGAGACCCUGUCAAAAAACCCAAAAAGAAACAACAACAACAACAAAAAAACCAACAACACACACACACACACACACACACACACACACACACACACACACACACACACACAAAUCUGCCAAGCUGUUUUUCAGAGUGGCUGUAUCAUUUUACAUUUCCACCAGCAAUGUAUGAGUGACCCAAUUUCUCUAUAUUCUCACAACAUUUAGUGUUGUCACUAUUUUUUAUUUUAGCCAUUCAGAUAACUGCAUAGUGAUUUCACAUUGUGGUUUUAAUUUGCAUUUGCCUAAUGCCUAAUGUUGAACAUCUUUUCAUUUGCGUAUUUUCCAUCUGUAUAGCCUCUUUGGUGAACAUCUCUUCAUGUCAUUUACCUAUUAUCUAAAUGAAUAAUGAGUUGUUUGCUUCUUUUUUUUUUUCCUAUUGAGUUUUGAAUGUUCUUUAUAUGCUUUCAAUACUAGUCAUUUGUGGAAUGGGUGGUUUUGCAAAUAUUUCUGCCCAGUGUGUAGCUUGUGUUUUUAUCCUUUUAAUAGGAUCUUUUUUAGAGGAAAAGUAUUUUUGAUGGAGUCCAGUUUAUAAAUUUUUCCUUUUCUGGAUUGCGCUUUUGGUGUCAAGCCUUAGAAGUCUUUGCCUAGAUUUUUUCUCAUGCUUUUUUUUUUUCUAAAAGUUUUAUAGUUUUACAUUUCAGCCUUGAUCCAUUUUGAGACUUUUUGUGUGUGUGUAAGAUUUGGACUUAGAUUGAUACUCUUUUCUUUUGCCCAUGGGUGUGAAAUUGCUCCAGCAUCAUUUGUUCAGAAAGACUCUUUCCUUCAUUGAGUUGAUUUUGUACCUUUGUCAUUACUUGGGCAUAUUUGUUUGGGUGUAUUUUUUGGGUUCGCUCUCCUGUUUUAUGACCUAUGUGUCUCUGUCUGUCAAUACCACACAAUCUUGAUUACUGUAGCCAUAUAAUAAGUGUUAAAAUCAUUCACUCUUUUACUCAAGAAGCUAAAAAAUGUGUUAAAAUCAGGUAGGAUGAUUGUUGUCACUUUAUUCUUCUUUUCAGUAAUUGUUUUAGGUCUUUCAGUUCUUUUUAUUUUCUAUACAAAUUUUAGAAUAAACUACCUAUAUAUACAAAAAGUCUUACUGGGAUUUUAAUAGAAGUUGCGCUAAACCUUUUGGAUAGAAUUGAUAUAUUUACUAUGUUGAGUCUUUCAAUCUACAAAUAUGGUGUGUCUCUUCAUUUAUUGAAGUCUUCUUUAACUUUUCUUCAUCAAUAGUUUGCAGUUUUCUCUGUACAAGUCCUAUAUAUGUUUUAUUAAGUUGAAAACUAAGUAUUUCAUUUUUUGGAGCAAUUCUAAAUGGUAUUUUAUUUUCAAUUUUGUGUCUACUUAUUCAUUGCUAGUAUAUAGAAUAUAAUUU
Molecule: long non-coding RNA, 56060 nt
Filed under: Homo sapiens (human)
Lineage: Eukaryota; Metazoa; Chordata; Mammalia; Primates; Hominidae
Description: non-protein coding lnc-TERF2IP-6:1
Source: RNAcentral